GGAAGGCCUUCAAGUUCUAACCCUUGAGGACGUCGUCUCUGAAGCUGACAUCUUUUGCACCACCACUGGAAACAAAGACAUCAUCAUGGUCGACCACAUGAGGAAGAUGAAGAACAACGCCAUUGUCUGCAACAUUGGUCACUUUGACAAUGAAAUCGACAUGCAAGGGCUUGAGACUUACCCUGGUGUGAAACGCAUCACCAUCAAGCCACAGACUGAUAGGUGGGUGUUCCCUGACACCAAGUCUGGCAUCAUUGUGUUAGCCGAGGGUCGUCUGAUGAACUUGGGAUGUGCCACUGGACACCCGAGUUUCGUGAUGUCUUGCUCGUUCACCAACCAGGUGAUUGCACAGCUUGAGCUCUGGAACGAGAAGUCAAGUGGGAAGUAUGAGAAGAAGGUAUAUGUUUUGCCUAAACACUUGGAUGAGAAGGUCGCUGCACUUCACUUGGGCAAGCUAGGUGCUAGACUCACCAAGCUCACCAAGGACCAAUCUGACUACGUUAGCAUACCCGUUGAAGGUCCCUACAAGCCUGUUAGCUACAGGUACUGAGAAGAAAAAAAAGAGGAUCAAGCUAUGGUUCUUCGUAUGGUUUUAUGAUUUUACCAUUUGGUUAUAAUCCAAAUGGCAAUUGUUUGAGUUGGUUCGGGUCUGGUCUGGUUGGGGAAAUAUGAGAUAUUGGUCUUCUUAUGAAGUUGAUCAAAUAUUGGUAUCAAUAAGGGGUUGUUGUUCUUUGGUUUUGAGAGGCUGUUUUAUGUUUUGUUUUGUUUUUCCUUUUUAAUUUUAUAUAAUCUCAAGAUAAUUUAAUUAUGUUUUACACUAUGGUUAGGCUUAUUUUUGAUUGUUUAUAAUUUUUUUAAAAAAUGAUUCAAGAGUUAUCAAAAUCUCAUAAAACUAUUGAAAACUUUUAAACAUCAUCCAAAAAAACAUCCAUAAUUAUAAACUCAAGACUCAGCUGAAACUCUAUUAGUUUGAUGGAGAGAACCUAAUAGUCAGGUUCUUGAACUUGGCAAGAACGACCAAACCAAGCUUUCUAAUUCAAAGAGAGAAAACAAAUUAUUUACAAAUUAUUUUGCAGCAUAUGCAUUCAUAUCAAUUGCUAGUCGUCUCCAGUCAACAAAGAUCUCAAUUCAAUCUAGAAAUUUAAUUCUCCCACAAGAAUCAUUUUAAUUAUUCACAGACCCUGCCAGAAAUUUCUGACUUUGGUCCAUGAACCCCUAAAACAAGCUUUACGAACUUCAACUUUAUCGAUCUUUCCAUCUAUCAAUCCACUUAACAAUUCUAGUCAGUUAUUUCACCAUUGAUUACAUAAAAACUAUAUAACCCUUCUGCUGUAAACAACAACAUUACAAAAGAGAUACUAUUAAACUUGCCUUGCUCAGCCUUAGAGAGACCAUAUCAAACUCAUAAUCAAGAACCGCAUUUUAUAGAUAAGCGGAAAAAAAUGUUUUCAGGUCUUGAUGUCGCUAGUGUCUCUAGCACACCUUGUAAUGACGUUGCAUCCUCGGCUGUAAGAAUUGGCUUGUCCUGAGCGACAAGCGUAGUAGGAAGCACCAGGUUUCUGACAAGGAACCAUGUCUCUCUUUAGAGUUCCGUAGCUUAUGUACUGUUUCCGCAUCAUCAUUACUCUCCGACUUAUCUCCGAUGGCAUCAUCUCCUCUCCUUCUUCCCCGAUUACGCCGUUCCGGUCGAGCAUUGCGUCGACUUCUUUAGUGACCGACGAAACUGUAGCCUCGACGGCGAUCGAGAGAAGGGUCUGAAGGAAAAGUAUGGAUAAGUAAACGAGAGCUAAGGAUCUCGACAUGUCGGUGUGGGAAAGUUUUGGUAGAUGUGGUGAGCGCUGCGUUACAACUCCCAAGUAGCUAGCUCUUGUGGUUAAACCGGUCGGUUGAGAUAUAGGUAGCAUCUAAGUCUGAACUCUGAACUGUAACGUCAAGUAUUUAAUUAAUCAAAUAUACACACAUAUAUAUAUUAUGUUAUUUCAGUGGAAUUCUCUCCAAUUUUCUUAGUUAUUGUGGUCCACUAACAAACACUUAGUUCCUUGUGUUGAAUUCAUGAUUAAUUUGUUGUUUUCCUUUUCAAUUAUAAUAUAAAUAUUUGUUUAAUAUCCUAAACUUUCUUUUUAGAUCGUUAUACAAGAGAACAUUUAUUAAAUCAACAUGUUUAUGUAGUGAGAUUAUUAAAAUAACCCAAUAGUUCAGUUUUUUUUUUUUAAAUUCGUAUGGAACAAAAAUAUACUGAUAAUAAUCUAGAGGGUUACUUAUUAUGAUUAAUAUGUGGGGCUUUGAGUAAAGAGAUAAUUAAGGCGUUGGUGUUAUUGCCACCUAACAAGUUCAACAACCCAACUAUAUCUUGAUGAGCUGUUUUCAUUGACCCACAUGCUCAGCUUUAUGUUUCGCUUCACACCAAAGCAUCACUUGAUUCACUUCAUUGCUUAAAACAAAAGAUAAAAAAUCAUAAUAAUGUAAUAUCAUCAACUUUGAAAGUUACCAUUUUCAGCAGGGCCUUUUCAUUGGUAAAUUUUCUUUGUGAAUGAAUCUUUGGUAUCGUAAUAGGAAAAAUAAAGUAAAUCACAGAAUCAUUUGCUCGGAUAAGAAGGAAAGAGAGACAGAAGAAAUGUUUGUUUUUCCUCUUGCUAGCAAAAGAAAAUAAAUACUAUAGUGUCAUAGCUUUGGGAUUUUUGUAUGCUGAAAACUGAUAAUUUAUAUAUAUAUAUAUAUAUAUAUAUAUAUGAAGGUUCACUAUUUUAUUAUCAACAUAAUGUUUAAACACAUUUUAGGAUUUGAUUUUGUAGUAUACUUGUAUAGAUCCAAUUACAAUAUCGUGUAGAACAAGUUAUGGACAGGUUGUGGAUUUGGUUUAUGAUGGGCCAUUAAGCCAUUCACUCAAGCGGACAUAUUAACAUGUUAAGGAUCACAUCAAAAUAAAAAUUGGACAUAGAUAACAUAUAAAUAAUGUGUCCAUCCCGUUAUUUUAAAUCAGAAAGCCAUAAAAUUUUAACAUAGCAAACCAAAUUGGCCGUUGCAGUUUUCUCCUAUUGAUAGUACUACAAGUGGUGCGAGUUAGGUUUUAUAACUUUAAGAUGGUACAAAAUAUCUCAUAGGACUUUAGGGGAGUCAAAGGAAUAUAUCAGCUCUUUACAUGCAGCUUCAUAGCUUGAACUAGGCAAUGGAUUAUCUAUUGAUAUCAGUUUAUUGAACAUGUCAACAACAGGUAACAAACAGGGCCGGCUUAAUAUAUACAAGGGCCAGGCCCGUCUCAAUGAUCAUUUAGACCUUGGGCUGAAAAAAUAUUAGGGCCUUUUUUUAAGGAAAAGAAAAAUAAUUGAACCCUUUUAUGUAAAAAUAAUAAAAAUUAAAAAAAAAAUUGGGCCUCAUCUAACCUUAAAAAUUAGAAAAAAUUAUAAUGGACCGUGUGCAAAUGCACUUCCAGCACAGGGUCAGAGCCGGGCCUGACAAGGGUCCUUGGACAAAAAAAGUUUUAAAGCCCUACAGUAAGUUAAUUUGUUAACGCUGGUAAAAAUUCCUUUAUGACUCGAGCAUCAAACAUUUAUAUAUAUAUAUUCUCUUAGAUAAUUUAACUAGAAGAAAAUGUGAUUAAACGUUUUAAUACUGUUCAAAUCUAAAUCAGAUAUGCUAAUGAAGACAAUUAGGACCCUUAAUAUUGUAAAAUUUGAACCGGAUCCGGGGCGGUCACACCGUCCGCACUCUCUAUUGAGCCGGCACUGGUAACAAAUUUUGAAAAUAAACCUAUAAAAGCAUUUUCCCUAUCAUAAAAUCAACUCAACACCCUAAGAGCAUCAGUAGUAGGAAUCCCUCACAUAGUACUUGUCCAGGAAGGAAGCAGGAGAAGCACCAGCUUCCAGACUUCUUUAAGAUAAAUAAAUAUAUGCCUUUGUUUUUAUAAAGUUUUCAUUAGUUCAACCGGCAAAAUAGGUUCCGGCAAUUUCUAAGUUGCUGUUCAUGGGUUUGAACCUAUGCAGCUACCUUUUUCUUCCUUAUUUUUUCUAAAUUAUUUCGAUCCAAUUAUUUUUAAAGCUUCCGGUCCAAAUGUCUUUUACAAAUUUCAGGAAAAUGAUGAGGGAUUUUUUCCACUUAUCAUCUAGCAAGUGAUUAGAAUUUAUUUUUAUUUUAAGUUUAUUUAUUUAACUAAUUUAUGAUUAUUAAAUGAUGAAAGAGCAAAUUAGCUCAAUAUACUGAAAAGAGUGGGAUACCAUUGAAUUGUGGAAAAAUGGUAAUGAUGAGGGAAAAAAAUUGAAGGGAAAUAGGGUAUGGAGUGCAAAUAGAGGGGAAGUUGUGUGUAGAGAGUACAAAUUCUCAUGAUGAAAUAAUAUGGGAAGAGACUUACCCACUGCUACUAGACGAUGAAAUUAACAACAGUGAGCAAUUGCUGUAAGUUAAAUCUGAUUUAGUGCUCAGCUGAACUUGACCAGCCCAAAAGUUAAAUAAACCUCAGCAGAUAGUAUUUAGUUAUUUACUCAGGUUGCUUUUUUUUUUGUUCACUUCUAAAAUAAAAAAUAAAUUUGAGAAAAUAAUUAAUAAAAAAUAAAUAAUAAAUAAACCUCAGAUGAUAGUAUUUAGUUAUAAACCUUAACUUCUAAAAUAAAAGAUCAAUUUAAUAUGGAGAAAAUGACCAUAAUAGUCCUUUUUGUUUCAAAUUUUAUGAUUUUGAUUUUUGAUUUUUUAAAAUUUGCAACCAUUUCCUCAAAAUUCCACCCCUUUAUUCUAAACCAUAAGUCUAGAUUAGUUAACUCUACAAUAUAAAUGUAUUUUUACUCUUUAAUAAAACUUUUUUGAUCAUUUUUCUCAUUGAGAGAUAUUUUAAUGACAAUAACUUAAAAAUGGCUAUCCUAGAGAAUUUUAUAUAUUGUAUAUUUAUUUAUUCUAAUUUUCUUUAUUUUAUAUCAAAUGAGAAUAUGACGAUAGAUGUUUACUUAUUAUUGUUUAAUGUAUUAUUUCUAUUCUUUAUAUUGUAUAUUUACUUAUUUUUUUUUAAUAUUUAUAUUUACUUAUUAUUUUUUUAUAGUAAUAAUUCCACGUGGCUUCUUUCGGAAGAAAUAUUUUUUGUUGAUGUGGACGCUCUGUGUAGCCUCAAAAUGUCUCUUUUAUUAGUAUAUAUAUACAUUAGUUUUUUUUGUUUUUUUUUUGGAUUUUUAAAGCUAAAACCCCUCAACUAAGUUUGUUUUGGAUAAAAACUCUCAAACUAAGUAUUUACUGAAAAAGCUCUUAAACUAACUUUAUUUAAUGAAUUAAACCAUAACAAGUCAUAAUUACCAUUACUACCAGUAAAUCUUUGGUUUAGGGGUUAGUUAAAGGGUUUUACCAUUAAAAUAAAAUCAAAAUCAAAAUUUUAUAAUAUUAUCUAAAAAUUAGUAACUUAAAUUUUCAAAAUUAGCAUUUUUAAUUUGUUUCUGUAAAUAUAUGAGUUGGAUGUGUUUUUAACAUCAACAUUAUAUAUGUAUAAAUUAAAAAUGAAAUAACCGAGAAAAUACAAUAAAAUUAUAUAAAGAAUUUAGACGCAGUAAAACUUUCUUCCCUAACUUUCGGAUCAUGCAUAUUCUAAGAGCAUUCAAAACUAUGGCGUACAAGUUUGCACGUGGUGCGAGGAGUUCUCCUUCAGCUAUAUUAUAUGUCGAUUCAAUACUUUCGGUUUGGCUUUCUGAAUCGCGCGGUCUAGUUACUUAGUUCUCGCUUAUGUUGUAAAAAAAAGUUACUAAUUAUUAAAUAUUAGUAUAAAUUUUGAAUUUUUUGGUUUUAAAAUUUUUUAAUGGUAACACCCUCUCAACUAUGUUUAAUUAAUGUAGAAAUCCCUAAACUAAAGAUUUACCGGUAGUAAUGGUAAUUAUGACCUGCUAGGUUUAAUUCAUUAAAUAAUGUUAGUUUGGGAGUUUUUUUGUUAAGUACUUAGUUUAAGAGUUUUUACCCAAAAAAACUUAGUUGAAGGGUUUUAACAUUAAAAAUCCUUUUAUUUUCAAUAUAACUAUUCGUCUAAUUGACCUUUUUAAAUAUAGCCAAUUCUCCAAAUAGGUCAUUUUAAGUUUUUGUCAUAAAAUAGCUCUCAAAGAGGAAAAUGACCAAAAAAUUUUUUUUUUGUUUUGAAAUUUUUUAUUUUUUAAAAAAUUGGAAACCCUAUCCUGAAAACCCUACCCCUUAAUUCUAAGCCCUAAGUCUAGAUUGGUUAAUCAUAGGGUAUAAAUAUAUUUUUACUCUUUAAUAAAAGUUUUUUGGAUUAUUUUCUUCUUUAAAUACUAUUUUGUGAAAAUAAACUAAAAAUAGAUAUUCUAAGAAAAUUCUCUUCAAAUAUCCACAAACCGAAAAGGAAUAUAUUUAAUUUUAGUUAUGAUGUUAAUAAAAUGUAUGCUAAGCCAAAAUUAGUGUAGUUCCCGAAAUGGUGACUGUAUAGAGUAUACGUGAUUUGGUUCAAUUGGUUCUUUUGACAUAAAAUGUAACUAGAGAUUGACCCGCACGCCCGUGCGGGUGUUAAUUUUUACGGUUUUAUAAAUUAUUUGUUAUUUUAUCAUUAGUGUUAUAUAUUUAAGAUGCGUCGUCGUAUAACCAAUUGUAUUCAAAAUAUUUGGAUUGAAUCGGGUAAUAAGAUUAUUUUUGGUACAAAUAUACACUCUUUUCAGAUACAUUGGUUAAUUAAAUAUUUUUAUAUUUCUACACAUCAAAAUCAAAAUCAUUCAGACCCGAGAGGAUCCAACUCAAGCAUCAUACAUAAAUUUAUAAUAUCCAAGUGGCGCCUAAUUUAAAAAUCCAAAAAAUUAAUCCCGAAAGAAACAACUUGUACCUCAAUGAGUAUCCGAAUGUCCAUACUUAACUGAUUUUGCAAAUAGAUUAAAAAGGAAACUCUUUCUAUAUAUUUGGCAAAAAUAAGAAAAAUAGAAAGAAUUUUUUAUUUAAUAAAAUAGUUAUAUGAAGUGAAAUAUUAAGUGAUAAUAAAUGUAAUACUUUUUAAUUAUUUUGAUUUAAAUUAUUAUCUUGUUCAUAUAAACUAUGCAUUUGAAUUAUGUGUUUUGCUAUGUAAUUUUUCACCAAUUGGAACUAAGACAAAAGAAAGUUUUAGUAAAACAUAUUAAACCAAACUAUUAACCAUAUGCAAAACUCGGUUAUCUUACAUUUUUAUUUUUUUUAUAAUUGCACAAAGUUAAUAUUGAUUAACUAAUAAAUAAAAAUCUACAUUAUUACUUUUACGGUAAAUAUAAUUAAUGAUGUGAUAUAUUGUUAAAGUAAUAUAAUUAAUGAAAUUACUAAAAUAAAACUAUACUUAUAUUUUUAUACAUUAAUAUUUGUUUUUCAUAAUUAGUGUUUUAUAUUUUAGAUAUGUCGUAAUAUAACUAAUUGUAUUCAAAAGAUCCGGAUCGAAUCAGAUAAUAUGGUUAUUUUUGGUACAAAUAUCCAAACCCGUUUCAAAUACAUUGGUUAUUUAGAUAUUUUAGGGUCAUAUACAUCAGAACCAAACUCAUCCAGACUCAAAAGGAUUCAACUCAAAACCUACACAUAAAUUUAUAAUAUUCAAGGAGUGAGUAAUUUUAAAACAAAAUAAAACGAUACACGAAAGGAACGACUCGUACCUAAGUGGAUAUUUAGUGUUCAUGCCUAACUGAUUUUAUAAACUAAUAUAAAUGAUAUUUUUUAUGUGUUUUGCUAAAUUAAGUGAAACUGAAAGAGUUUUUUUAUUUAGUAAGCAAUUAUAUUGAGUGAAAAAUUAAGUGACAAUGAAUGUAAUUCAUUUUUAUUAUUUUGAUUUAAGUUAUGAUUUUAUUCACUAAACAUGUUUUUGAAUUAUGUUUUUGGCUACGUAAUUUUUCACUGAUUGAAAAAAAAAUGUUAUAGUAAAACAAAUUAAAACAAACGCUUAACCUUAUGCAAAACUCAGUUAUUUUACUUUUUUUGAUUUUAUAAUUGACACAAAACUAAUAUUGAUUAACUACUAAAUAAAAUCUACACUAUUAUUAUUAUGGUAAUAUAAUUAAUGAUGUGAAAUAUUGUUAAGACAAUAUAAUUAAUAUGAGUGAAAUAUGGAAAUACAAUUAAUGUAGUACUGCUAUCUUCGUUUCCAAACAAUUUUCAGUUAUAGUACUAUUCAUGUUUCCAAACAUUACUAAAGUGUACUUCAGUUUUAAUAAUAUAGAUAUCAUUUCCUCACUAUUUUCCUCAAACGCAUUAAUAUAUUACUAGAUAGAAACAUGAGAAAUGAUGCAAGCUUCACUUUAAAAUAUUUAGCUAGUACCAAUAAUUUUCAUUGUUUAUUCGAUCUUCCUCAACAAUAGGAAACAAGAAGUACAAACUUGGAAUAAUAAGGAAAUUAAAAAUUACUAAGAACAAGAUUGAUUUAAUACGAAUGAUCCAGCUUUUGAUCCUUCUCCAAUAUACGCUUUAAUUUUGACUCUUGAGGAGGUCUUACAGGGUAACGCUAGGGAACUUGCAUUGUUCAUUUCCUGUAGAAAAUAGUCAUUACAAUCACAGAGUAUUUAAAUUAUUAAGAAAUGAUUAUUUAUUUUCUUAAAGUAUUAGACAAGAAUUAUAAGUUAAUAAAAGCUUACCUGGGUUGGUCGUGGUCUCACGCGCCAAGCCGUUGAAGUAGCACUGGGAGCUUUGGUUCCGGAACUGAGCCCAGUACGAGCUAAAUGCAUAGCUUGCGUGCCAAGUAACCGAAACUGGUGCGUAACACUCUCUUCCCGGUGCCAAAGCUGCACAUGUGGCAUUGCUUCUUCCACAAGCAAAGUCAAGCGCCUGCCCUAACUCCGUCUCGUUAGCUCCUUCUACCGCCACACACCACACGUUGCCCUUGAACGGAACAUUGUUAUUUGGUUUAGGCAACGAACCAAGACUAGAAACCGGUCUUGUCCCACUCAAAUCAAUAUCGUAGAUCUGUGUACCGUCAGGAUUCAAAAUUCCCCAAUGCCUCUCUGUUCCUGAACCGGGUUUCCGGUUUUCAUUGAAUAAUGAGAACAAAAACGUCGGUAUUGGUGAACCGCGUCUAGCUGGUGUACCGAGUGGCGGGUUAGCAGUCAUCUUCUUGAUCAAAUUCCGGUUAUAAGUUGCGGCAUUGAAAAUGUUGGCUCCGGUUUCGUCGAUAUCACCGGAGUUAGGCCACCCGGUUUCAGAGAUUGCAAGACGGACGUUGGGGUAGCCGAGCUUGGUCAUCGCGAAGAUAACCGAAUCGAGCAUCUGGUCUAAUAGAUUGGUGUAAACCAAACCGGUUUGGGGAUCGGUAUAAGUUGAAUUCGAUUCGAACAGAGCGAAAUCCAAAUGGUUGUUAACCGGAUCAGUGGACCAAGGGAAGUAAGGGUAGACAUCAAGGAAGAAGAAAGAGUUUGUUCCGUUGAGAAACUUCAGCAACGGUAACAUCACCGGAGCGGCGACUUCUUCCCGGAAUGUUCCAUUGGACGGAGGAAAACUCGACCGGAGAACAUCCAUGGCGAGUGGUGUUCCGACUUUGAUGUUGUGAAUGCCUCUUGCUCUAAGAGAGUUCACGAUCUUACGCAUGGCCGGGACAAGGUUCGCCCAUAUUUGCUUGUCUUGGUCGGAGUUGUAGCUGAGAAUUUCGUUUCCGACAAGGACGAACCGGAUUCUUGUUUGUGGGUAGUGAGGAAGGACGUUGGUGUUGACCCAGUUGUCUGCGGCUGCUUGGUCGGCACCGAUGGAAAUGAUUUGGUUGUUAGGGACCAUGAUUGUGACGUAGAGAUUGGUCUGAGAGAGGAGCAUUAGGGUUUCUUGAUCGGCGUCGUAAAGCUUAACGUGGCCUGCUUUAAUGGAUUUGACGAGGUUGAUUGAUUGGUAAGGAGAUGGGAGAUUGUUACCUAAUCUUCCGUAGUUGAUACCAAUCCUGCUUGCAAGUGAUAACAAUGUUUUGUUGUUCUGUGGACCAAUUGCGUAGCUACAUGAACCUGUAAGAAGAAGACAAGAGUAUGGUAAAUACUAGUGAAAGAGUCUUUGGUCAUCGAAUCAUAAUGUAUUAAGUGCAAGGAGACUUACUUGAAAGGGCAACGAGAGUGAAAAUGAACAGAGCAAAAAAAGCCAUUGGAAACAAAAUGUUGUUGAUAGGAGAGGGAUGAGAUGAUUUUGGGAUGAAGGAAAAGAGAUUUGUUGAAGCGGGUAUUUAAGAGAAUACUAAAGGAUUUUGUUUUAAGGAUUAAGAUAUAGCAAAUCAUGCAAGAAAAGCUUCUGAUCAAACUUUCUUGAACUUUCCCAGUUCUUUGGUGUUUAUUUUCUUCUUUUGUUUAUAAUUUGUGUAUUAGAAGACUGGUUGGUUGGCUUGUUCAAAGGAGACCAAGAACCUCUUUGCCAAAUUAUUCAAUCAAAAACUAUAAACGUAAUACUAAUUGUUCAUUUUAGUUAUUGCUCAUAAAUUAAAAUAUUACUUUCAUAACAAUGUUAAUUACAUGAGUAGGAAGAAAUAUUUUUUCUAUUACAAUGCAUCCGUCUGCAUUUUCCCGGUUUCGAGUUACUUGUAGUUUUUUUUUUUUUCUUGUUUUUGCUAAGAAUGUUAAUAUCAUUGAAAAUGAAAGAUCAGUCUACAAAGUAGUUAAUCUAUACGAAACAAAGCCCUGGCAAAAAAGAAAUAAGAACAGGGAUUUGAUAGUUUUUGGGGAUAGAAAGGAGUUCUGAAGAAGUUCUAGAGAAUCCAGAUGCAACAUCAGUGGAUUAGAUAAGCCAAAUAGACAAAAGGUUUCUGAAUUUCUUCUUGUGCCUUAGUGCAUAAAUGGAGUUGAUAACCUGCCUGUUAAUAUCCUUGAACACAAAACAAGCGGGGAAGUGAUGCAGUUGGUAUGGAGCAUGUUAUUGCACUGUCGCCAGACAGAGUAAAUCAGUGACUGAACCACGAGCAUCUCUAACACCAAAACCACCAAAGUCUAAUCUAAUCCAAGAUGAAAACAAAAAAACGUGCAAGUUCCAAUCUCCGACUCAAAUACCAACACGAGCAAACUCAAACAUUCAUGGGUGAUCUGCAGCUACAAAUACGGAUUAUGUUUGGGGCCAACCACGUUUGGUGUUCAUCUUGCAUGAUACGCAACCGAUACAAAAUUUUAAAGAGAAAAAUAUAUAGAUGAAUACAUGGAGAUGGUCUCAGUCUAUCACUGGACACACAUACAUUAUGAUACAAAUCUCAACGUUUAUCCAAUUUUUAGAAUACAUGGAGGCACCAACAGUAGGAAUUUGGGUGUGGCUGUCUCCUUCUCUCAAUUAGUAAACUCCCUGAAAUUUCUUAGAUACAUAUUUAUCUGAGGAAUUGCUGUAUACAUUUUUUUUGUCUUGGCCUUUGAUUUGGGUAAAAACAGAACUAUUUUGUGAAUGAGAUAUAUCUUUCAGUUUUUCUAUGGUUGAUUAAGUUAAGGUAAAAACUUAUAUCAUAGAUCCUUUUGAAAUAUAUGCUAAUAGGUGUUUUCUUGCACCAUGUGCAGUAGUAAAAUUUUAAAUUUAAAUAAUUUUUAAAUAUAAAAUUUAUUGUUAUUUUCGAUUUUAUUAUUUUCUUACCAAUAUUUUAUAUAAAUUUUAAUUUAAUUAAACAUAUAAUUAAAAUAAAAUAAACAAUUUUGUUUAUUUUAAAUUAUAUUAAAGAAUAGAUAUGUAUAUAUUUAAAAUUAUAAUCAUAGAUAAAUUUUCUAUUUAUUUCUUUUGGAUAAAUAUAUUAAAUCAACUUGUAUAAAAUUAUUCAAAAAAUUGAUACAAAAGUUGUAUAAUUACCAAAACGUACAACUAAACAAUAUUUCUAAAGUUUGUAGAUAUAUAAAAGAAGCUGAUAAUAUUAUGAUUAAAAUUUAUAUUUUUUAAAAAAAUUGUUAAAAAAAUUGAAAAUAUUUUUAGCAAUAAAAUUUUAUAAUUAUAAAAAUCAAAAUAAACAAUAUUUCGAAAUUUGGAAAAUAAUAUUAUAUUUUUAUUAUUAUAUUAUUUAAUGUCAUAUUUGGCUGACAAAAAAUGUCAUAUUUGGCUGACAAAAAAUGUCAUAUUUGAAUGAUUUACUUUAAUUAUGAUGUAUAAUUUAUUAACAUAUUCUAAAACGUUUACCAAAAAUAUAAAUAAACAUUACUGAUGAUUGUCCAUGUCACAUUUAGUCAUAAGCCAUGUUGUCAUUUCUAGUAUGCAUGAUUCAUUUUUAUUUAGUGAAAGUAAUUUUUAGAGAGAACAUGUGUCAAAAUUACUUUGCAAAUAAUAUCUAGGUGAUUUGAGUUUUUGAAUUUAGUAAAGAGAAAAAAACUUAGAAAAAGCAAAAAUAUUUAUUGACUAGGGUUAAUUUUUCUAAGUAACCGAUUUUGAAAGUAAAAUAAAGAAUCUAUACUAUUAAAGCAGGAUCCUAUUGUCAUAAUUACCUUAGCCUGCCCUUUCCUUUACUAACAUUGUAUGUUUCAUUAAGAGCAAUCAAAUAAUAUUAAUAACACAUCUAUAUUGGGUCAUUAUUUUCGGAUCCAGCCCACAUCAAAUCUCUCUUGGGCCAUUUGGGCCUAUUAAAAAAUCAGAUUCAAUUCUCACUUUUUUUUUUCUUUUGGAUCAUUGAGUCCAAGUUCAAAUAAUUUUUUUUCAACUAUUUUUAAUUAUUAUUUUUUUUCUUUUCUUAAUAUAAUUUAAGCAUUCAUAAAAAUAAUUGAAUUUUUUUAUUGAAAAGUAUAAAUCUUUAUUAAAAGUAUAUAAUUUUUUUAAUUAAAAUAUUAACCACAUAAUAAAAUUAAUUUAUCAGAGUUAUACCAACUUAAUUCAUUAAAAAAAUAAAGUUUAAUUUUUUAAACAUAAAUAGUCAUUUAAAAUAAAAUACGAUAAAUAAAAAUAAAAAUUUUAAGUCUUUUAUAAAAUAAAGUACAAAUAUAUGAAAAUGUGACAUUUACUAAACAUUUUUCAAUUGAAAAAAAAACAAAAAUAAACCCGCGCUUUGAAAGCGCGGAUCAAAAUCUAGUAUAGCUAUUAUUUUGACAUAAUUCAACCAAUAACAUCUAGCCUUGAAGUCAUAUAUAUAAAUUGUUUAAAAAAUAAUCUUUAUAAUACAUAUUAAUAUCUAAUUUUUUUUGAUAAUUAUUUAUAAGAAUAUAUAUAGUAGUACAUUGAGAUUUUUAUUUUGUAAAAAGUAGAUGUCGUAUUAACCCACAUGCCUUUAUAAGGCUUCACUAUUUUACCUUUAUCUAGCUAUGUUCCAAAUUUUAUUUGCACCCUUAAAAAAAUCUAUAAAUUAAUAAUAAUUUUAAAUUUUUUUGAUCAAAUUAUGAUAACUUUUAACUUUAAGUUUAUUAAGUUAUAAUAAUAAUGUAAAAAUUUAGGUUUUAAAUAUUUUUUAAAAUAACAUUUUAUUACACGUACAUAUAAAUUAGAAUUUAUCUAUUUAUUAGAUUAUUUGCUAGAUUUUCAUACAUAUAUAUAUAUAUAUAUAUAAUAUGUACAAUAAAAUAUAAACGUAUUUUGGAUGUGAUUUGUUAAAACUAAGAGUUAGAGAUAUAUUACACUUGAAGACAGAUAAUAUACUUUUAUUUAUCUUUAUAUAAUAAUUACUAAUUUAUGAUUUUAACGUAAUCAUAUAUUUAUUUUUAAAAUUCUAACUUUUAUUAUCUUAUCAAAUUAUGUUUUAUAUUAUAAUGAUGUAAUGUAAGGUCAGAAAAAAUAAUUAUCCUAUAUAUUUAUCAAUUUAUAAAAUACUAAUUUUUAGAUUUUAUAUUUAUAAAAGUUGUUGUCAUAACAAAUUACUUUAGCAAUCAAUAAAAUUAAAAGUGGAUCAUGAGUCUGUUGUGUUUAUGUUGAUAGACAAAAAAAAAAAGAAGUUAAAAGUGGAUCUGACCACAUUCAAAAAAAAAUAUUUUGAAUUUUAUUAUCUGUGGCUACUUCAUGCCAUCACAUUGAGAACAUUUGAGAACUAGAUAGAUUUGUGUCUAUAAAAGACCUUACUGAAACAUAAACUUGAAAUAGCUCAAGAGAGAUUUAUUAUGCAAGCAACUUAAAAGGAAAGAAGAAGCUUUUAAGAUGUCACCAAGAUAAAGAUAAUGUUUUGACUGAUACUCAUAAAUGGGAAAGAGAGGCUGCUCACUACGCAGCCAAAGUCACAGACAUUAACCAUAUAGAGAUAUAUAUAUAAUCCUUAGAAACCCUAGUUACAUGAGCUUAAGGAGAUGAUUGGCUGUGGUUGUAGAUACUCCGGACAGCCAAAAUUUAGUCUAGAGCUAUAUAUGUCAACCAAUCGAGUUUUUCUUUCCUUAAAAAACUCACAGCAAAAAAAAAUCUCUGCAAAAUCAAAAUAUGGCUGUAGAAAGCUUUAUUUUCAGAGCAUAAAAUUAGUGCUUUAGAAAGCUACAUCAAUGAAAGCUACAACAAAUAAAUCUACAGAUUAAAUUCCACAGCAAAAAUUAUAAAGCUACAGUUUUUACCAAUCAUCUUCUAAGUAACGGGCUUGCGGUCUUUAAAUGGGUCUCGCUAAUACACAUAAUAAAUUAUGUUUUGUUUUUUGUUUUGUUUUUUCUUAAAAAGAAGCAAAAGAGUUAUAAACGUGAAGAAAACAACGUCAAAAUAAUAUGCACCGAAACUUGAUAUUUUGCGUUAUUAUUUAUUAUGUGGAGCCCACAGUCACUAUGCACGCACAUUAUUUUUUUCUUUUUCACUUCUAUAUAAGCGAUCGUUUCGAUCAAUUGUAACACACCAUCCCUUCUUCUUUUUAUAACACAUUUUAUCUCGUUGUCAUCUUGUAUCAGUGUUAUUUCCUUCUUGAGGGUAUAAAAUUUUGCUCUUAUUUAAAUUUCUCGAUACUAUAAAAUUGUAAGUUAUUUCAUAACAAAAAUAGAAUUUAUUAUGUGAUGGUAUGAUAGAGCCAGUAGGAGAAUAUUAUGUGGAUGUCAUGAAGGAUAACUUGGUUUUUUAUGCUACACACAGGGCCGACUUAGAUAGAAGGCGAACGGUGCGACCGUCCCUGGGCCCAAUCCGUUGCCCUCUAUUUUAUUAAUAGAUAAAGCCUGAUUUUUUUAAAAAAAUUAUAUGUAUUUUUAUUUCAAAAAUAAGAAAAAGGGCCCAAAUUUUUUUAUAUGAAAGUAUUUUUUUUAUUUCUAUAGAUUUAUUUUUAAAAAUGCUUUUGGUAUUUUAAAAAAAAACAUAUAUCUAUCAGAUUUUUAAAAAAAAAAUAUAAUAGGUUGGAAAUUAAAUUUUUUUUUUACCCUAGGAUCUAUGACACCAUUGAACCGAUCCUUGGCUACGCAUGGUGAAGUGACCAAAUGACCGUGGCACAUGUUAAGUGGUUUCUAAAAGUAUUUAGACAGACCAAAAAGUUUUAUAGCCUUUAGACGUUUUUGUCCCCGUAUUAAGAAAAGGAUCAGAAGUCUAUUAGCUGGCUUGCAAUUCCUUUUGUCCUAACCACAGCCCUCUCUACCAAAUAAGCAUAUGGCAAAAUAGUCGUAUAAAAUGUUUUGCAACGCACGUCACAUAGAACGUUCACUGCCACAAGCUGCAACGAGAAAUGCUUAUGCAACGUGUGAAUAAGGCGCAAGAAAUUUUUCAGAUAUUGGCAGCUCGUUUUAUUUUUUACAUGAAAAUCACUUUUAUAUAUGAAUGGAAGAAGUAAAAGUCAAUUAUGAAGAACUUUUUAACACGUCGUGAACCCUAGAACUUUUAUAAAUAACAUAGAACUCUAGCUUUUUCUAGCAUUUUAUACCAAAAAAAAAACAUAAAUCCACCUUUUAUGCCUUUUAAAAAUAUGAAAAUAACGGGAACAUAGUAACAUGCUUCUUUGGUUCUUUACUUUUUUUCUUUCUUUUUUAAUUACGUUGGAUCUGACUUUUAACAUUCUUUAGCAUCACCCAUAUGCAUAUGCUUGAUGCUUCAGCUAAAGUUGUAGACUUGUAGCUGUUGUUUCCAUAUCAAUUUCCAGCCCAGUCUAUGCUCUCCUUUCUCCAUCUUUAUUUUUUAUAAUACUUUCCUAACCAUAAAUAUUCCCUAAAAGAUCGGACUCGUUUUAUACCAUCUUUAGUAAUUUAUAAACUUUAUAGUAAGUGCUUAUAAUAUUAACCUUAAUUAAUGUCAUAAAUUCUAUUUACAUUUUGUUGGCGAAUUUCUUAACUGUUUCCUAAUUAAAUUUUCACUUGAAAUAAGACAUUCUCCUCAUAUAUUAAUUGUUCUAGUAUAUCAAAACCAAAAGGAAAAAACAAAUAGAUAAAAUUCACAAAACCAAACAAAAAUGUAUGAUUGGAGUUUAUCAAUAGAAUAACCGCCCUAUUAUUAUCCAAAAUUUGAGCCAUGAUAGGUGGCAAAAUGGCAAAUAAGUCUUUGGCUUCUAUAGCUUUACAAUGAAACACAGCCUGUUAAACUUAACAAAUGAUUGAGACGUUUACCUUUUUAAAGUCAUAUCCGUUUAACGCGGCAGAACUUGUUUUCUUUCAAAACAACAAGAAUUUUGUCAACAUCUAUGCCAAAAUUCUAAGUCAUGGCUUAUGUAAUAUAACACUUCAAAGUAGGUAUACUAGUUUCUCUUUUCUUCCAGAAAACCAAGCUACGUAAAAUACAAUUUCCCUUAAAAAGAAUGAACAAACGCAAAAGCUCAAGUGGUCAAACGCAAAUACAACAUAUAUGUGCUUACAAUAUAUAUAAAUAAUCAUCAUUUCAUAUAAAGACAAAAAAAUCCCAAAAGGAAGAGCUUAAGUAACAUCGAUUUGAUACACAUAGAGAGUUUGGUGUCACCGACCAUCAGCAGAAUCAAACGUGUUAGGGAAACCAGAAGGCUUUGGAGGAAUACUAGACUGUGUCUGAGAGUAAGAGAAGUCUCCAUGGAACAUUGACGUCGAUGUUCCUUCGUUUUGCUGCCAUCUCUGUAGAGCUUGAGGUAAACUCAUGUUGUUCACAUCGAUCCCGAAACUCUCUUCUUCUUCUUGGCACGACGGUUUCCACUUCUCUACCAGUGGACCUAGCACGUUAACCGCGUGGCCCAUGUCUGGUCUUUGUUGAGGCUCACGGGCUGUACAGUGUCCUGCUAGCUCAGCAACCCUGUGAAUGCUCUCCAAUGUUUCCUCGUCUGCCUCUAAUGUUUGGUCGAUCGCCUUUGGGAUGUUUUCUUUAUUGAUAAGGAUUCUUCUGAACCAUGUGACUAGGUGGGAUCUCUCGUCCGGUAAUGAAUCAUCUAAUGCUUUUCUUCCUGUUAUCAUUUCCAUAAGAACCACUCCAAAUGCAUACACAUCCACUUUCGUCGUUACUCUUCCAGUAGCUGCAACCAUAUUAUAACACACACCUCAGAUAAACAGAUUAAAAAAUCAACAAUCCAAUGGCAGAAUGUAUAAAGCCCUUUGCAUAGUACCAUAACAAACUAGGCACAUUGUGAAAUUAACAUGAUUUAGACUUGGGCAGAAUCAACUUACCGGCGUAUUCAGGUGCUAGAUAACCGAAUGUGCCUGCUAAUCUCGUCUCAACGGAGUAUUUCCCAUCAGGUGCGUUCUUAACCAAUCCAAAAUCAGCAACCUUUGCCCUCAUAUCAUCACCAAGAAGGAUGUUAGAGGGUUUUAAAUCUCUGUGGAUGAAGCUCUGCUGAGCCAAGCUAUGGAGAUAUUCAACACCCCGUGCCACGUCUAGAGCGAUACUCACCCUUUGUUUCCAUGUCAGAGGAGAGUAACCGAGUUCACCGUACUCAAACAAAUGCUGUCCAAGAUUACCCUGCGGCAUGUACUCAUAGACAAGCAAUCUCUCGUUCCCGUUCACACAGUAACCCAACAGCGCAACCAAAUGUCUAUGCCUGACCUUAGUGAGCACAGCUAUCUCGGCCUGAAACUCGUUCAUUCCUUUAUUACCCAUUGCUGAACAUUCCAUCCUCUUGACCGCAGUCUUGGUCCCAUCGUGUAACUCUCCAGCGUACACAACACCAAAACCGCCUCUUCCCAAUAUGUUAGCCUCGCUGAAGUUAUUAGUAACUUGACGAAGAACCUCCAUCGGAAUGGUAACGCUUCCCCCUUCAAGAAGGAAACGCUCGCUAUUGUCACCACUACUAGGACUGUUCAAAGCAUUGAAGUUAUUAGCUCCUCCACCAUGUCCAUUCCCAUUACCAUUAGACGCAGCAUCACUAACCAAAACCUUCCCUGCAUUCUCAGGAUCCGUCGUCCUUCUGAACUUCCCAUACUUCUUCUUCAUCACAAACUUGUAAACCACAAAUCCUAAAAUAGCAAGAAAAACAAGAACCGCCACGAUCACACCAAUGAUCACAGGAGCCUUACUACCACCACCACCACCACCGCCACCACCAGAAGACCCACCACUACCACCACCGCCUUUACCACCAGCCCCCGGACUAGAAGAAUCUCCAGCAUCAGUUCCCAACAAAACAUUACCCGGUUUGUAAGUAAACUUAACCGGAUCCGGAAACUUCAAAAUCUCACCAGUGAGGUUGUUGUUCGAGACAUCAAUUAGACUCAAGCUAGGCAUAGAGGUCAACACCUUAGGUAUAUCACCGGUUAAAUUGUUGUCGUUAAGGUAAAGGCUCUUGAGGGAAGUGAGAUUCACAAUCGCCGGAGAUAUAAACCCUUGGAAUCCAUGUUUGGCAAGAUUCAAGGUGACAACUUUCCCAGCUGAACAUGUCACAUAAGCCCAACUGUUACAAGCAUCGUUCCCUUGCCACGACUCAGCCAACAUCGACGGAUACCCCAAGCCUCCGGCCACCGCUAAAAGCGUCGCCACCUGAGCAUCACACGCCACUCCGGGUUUGGUAGUGCAGAAGUAGUUGUGAUCAUCAGUUACUUUCUCAACCGCCGGCGGGAACGAAGGAAGAGGACCUUGGAACUUGUUGUUGUCUAACGAAAUGUUCUUGAGGCUCCCGAGUGGUAACAGCGUCGUGGAUACGACUCCGGUUAACUGAUUAUCUCUGAGCUGGAGAUCGAAAAGGUUCUCGCUCUUCGAGAGAUCUGGAAUCGGACCGGUGAAUUGAUUCUUCUGAAGCCACGCUUGCGAUAACGAAGUCAUACCGGAGAGUACUUCGAUUGAACCGGAUAAACCGGAUAACUGGUUAUUGAUCCAGAGAUUCUGAAUCGAAGAUUUGGCCAGGGAAGGAGGUAACGGCCCCGUGAUGUUGUUGUAUGAUAAGCGGAGGUUUUGGAGAGAAGCGAAGUUCUCGAAGAUGUCAGGCAAUGCGCCGGAGAUGGUGGUGUUGUCGAGGUAGAUGGUGGUGAGGGAAGUCGAUUCCGCGAGCUCCGAAGGGAAGCUCCAAGGGGAGAGGUUAGGGUUAUCGCUCAUACUCAAGAUCUGGAGGCUGGUGAGUCCGGCGAAAGCUCCGGGCUCAACUCCGUCGAAGAGAUUCGAGUCGAUGUAGAUCUCUUGAAGAGAGGCGAGCUUCGCGAAGGAAGGGAUCUUACCGGUGAGCUUGUUGCGCUGCAGAGUGAUCGUCUUGAGCUCGGAGAGAGUCGAGAUCUCGGGAGCUAAGCCGCCGGAGAGAGACUUAUCCUCGAGGUUGAUUGAGCUGACGCGGUCCGAGCUGCACCUCACGCCGGACCACUUGCAGUAGCCGGUGGAGGAGGUGGUUGACCAGUCUGACGGCGGAGGACUGAGUGAUUUCGCUAGAGCAAGCAUUGCUGCUCCGUCGUCUGCGGUGGUUGCGGUGAGGAGAGAGACGGCGAAGAGGAGGAGGAGGAGGAGGAGAGGCGUGGGAGCCUCCAUGGGUUAGAGAACACGCGCGGCGCGUGGAGUGGAGGAAGGAGGAAGAAGGUAGGGUUUCGUAGAGAGUUUUGGAGAGAGAGAGAGAGAGAUGAGGAAUGGAAGCAAGCGCAGAGUGAGGUGUCAUAAGCUGUUCAACAGAUCAUUGCUAUUAUAAACGUAACCAUUUCCAUUCUCUUCCGUCCCGUUCCGUUACCCUCUCCUUUUUUUAAUACUAUUAUUGUUUUUAUAUUAUAUGGUAGAUUGGUAGUUCUCUUUUUUCUUUCAACUGAUUGGUAGUUCUCUCCAUAUGGAAAAAAAAACUGAAAAUACGCGUUUGUAGUGUCUAUUUCCAUAAACAAAAAUUGUAUGGACUUUAUAUAGAUUAUUUAAAGCUCUAAUAAUUAAAUAACGAUAUUCCGUUUGAAUAUAAAUAAAAACAAAACAAAACUGAUUGAGAUAAUUAUUGCGGCGGGUGGUUGUAAUAAUGGAGAUAACAUAAUUGUGUUGUUGGCCGGUAAUUAACAAAUUUGGAAUACAAUGUAAGGCGGCAAUGGUUAAGGGGGUGUUAGUGGGGAUGAGAUUUAUAAUGAGUCUAAAUCUAGUGUUAUUGGUUUAUAGAUUCUCAUAUUCUCAUUAAAAUCUAUUGUUAUUGGUUUGAUGAUUCUAUAAUUCUAUACAAAAUCAUUUGUUAUUCAAAAAGUUUAGAUUUUAAUGAUUCUACAAAUCUAUUAAAGUAAGUGUUAUUGGGAGUUGAAUUCUUAUCAUUUUAACUCACAAAUUAAGAUUUUGAGAAUACUACAUGUUUACCUUGAAUUCUUAGAAUCAUUACAUUACUUUAUUUUCAUAGAUUUUCACAAUAUACAAAAUUCUCUACAUCUCUUUCCAAAUUUAACAAAUCUCUCAACUUUUAAAAUCAACAAACUCUAUAAAAAUCUAAGUCCCACUAACACCCCCAGUUUAUUUCUGUGUGCAAGGAUUCUUAACCAGGUCCAACCUAUUAGUGGUGAGGACCGCGAAUCCACGAACCUAUGGGUUCUAUACAAGGUGAUUCGAUCUACUGUCAAUUUUGAUUCAUUCCAAAAUAUCAUAUUCCCUCGUUUCCAAAAGUAAGAUGUUUUAAAUUUUUUACUUGUUCGACAAAGAUAGAUUUUUUAUAUAUUUAAGGUAUUUUUUAUACUUUUAAGAAAUAUUAAAUGAAAAUAUUUGAAUUUGAUUAAAUUUCAUUGGUGAAAAAUUAUUGAAAAUGUAUAACAAAGUAAAAGAAAAAUUAAAUUAUAAAUAUUUAUUGAAUUUUUAAUAAGCGUGAACAUUUUAGAAAAUCUUACUUUCAGGAACAGACGGAGUAUAUUUAUAGUUUUAUGCAUCAAAGUAAAUACUAAUAUAGAAUAUUAAUUGAAAACGGAAGAUUAAUUGUAUAUUUCAGUAAGAGGUUGUCACGUAAUCAUAAACCUCAGUUUAUUUACAAUAUAAUCUGUAGACCGACAAAUGCUCUUACCAGUUACCACAUCGCAAGGUCGCCGGGAACCCACUAACCUAUCCUUAAUAAUUAAGUGAUGACACAAAUCAAACAAUAAACUAUAUAUAUAUAAAAACAUUAAUUUUUUCUUUAUAAUUAAUUUUACAAAAAUGAAAACGGUUUACGAGAAUUCACGAACAUACAUGAGAGACAGACAGACCCAUACAGAUAGAAUUUGCUCACAGUGUAAUUAAUUGUGGUGCGGGGUUAUACAACACAAUAUAAAUUAAGUAAAAAAAUUAUUGUGCAUCAUGUGGUUACAAUAAAGUAUAUCAAAUGUGAACAAAUACUAGCAAGGGUGAGCUGUGUGUUUAUAUGGCUUAUUUAAAACAUCAGUGAGCUGUGACUAAAUCAUUCCUAAGAAUCUUAGCGGCGUUGCUGGAUUUUGGGAGAAAAUUAUUGUCCUAAAUUCAUGUCUAUCUAUAAUCCUGUGGCGUACUGCAUUGUCAUGUGUAUAAUGAUUUACGCACACAACAGUUUACGCAGUAGCUUUGUAUAUACAUGAAUGUAUAAAAUAAUUAAAAUGCAUUAUCAGCUUUUAUAUGUGGACGUGAGAAAAUUAGUAAGUAUAGUCAGCAUUGCAUGUGGCAGCCUAUUCAUGUGUCUGGCCAGUAAGAACUUUUCUCUUUUCUGAGUGCCCUGACCCAGAUUUGUUAUUGUUUCGUAGGCAGUGUUAGUGUCUCGUUAUUGAUGACCAUAUGGUCUACUUGACACUACAUUUUAUAAAAAUACAACUUUUUAAUCUAUCCACAAGGGCUGGCUCAUGAGCUUCCCUUAAUGGGCCGUGCUCUCGAUUUCAGACCAGCAACCAGAAAUGAUCUCUCCGGUUCCUUGGCCAUUCAGGAUCUGGCUUAUCUUAUUUGCAUGGUUGGUCACACUAUCUAAAGUGAAUAUUAAAUUUUUUUUUUUUUUUUUUUGUAAAAUGUUAAGAUUUAUACCAUUUUUUAGAGUUUUACAAUGUUAUGUAAACACAACUUAUUCAAGAAGACAGAGGAGAUGGAACAAAAGAGAAGAGAGGGAACUAGCAAAAGGAAAGGAAACAGAAAAUAGAAAAAAGGAGAGAAGCAAAAAACCUUAACUAAAAGGUGAAAGGAACCAAAAGUACAACUCAAGAAGAGAAGGAACAGAAACAGCAGCUGGAGGUCUCGAAAGGGAAAGCAAACGAUCACGCAUUGCACAGUCCACCACACGGAAGAAAGCUUCUGGAGUUGCUGAUACGCUUGUGAAGAUACGAGCAUUCCUCUCACGCCAGAGAGAGUAAAUGAUGACUUGAUUCAGUAGCUUGAGCACCACCGUCGCCCGGGAAGCAUGAGGGCCUUGAAGAUGCUGGCACAACUCGAUCAUAGACGAUAAAGAGGAUGGGGGAGACGCCAUGUACCUGCCACAAAAACGAGACCAAGUAGCAACUGCAAAGGAACAUUGAAAGAAAAUAUGACUUAUAGUCUCAUCAGCCGUGGAACAGAGAGCACAACCUGGCGGGACAGAGAGACCCCAUGAGAUCAACCGGUCUCUUGUCGGUAACCUUCCUAGAAAAGCAGUCCAAGCUAUAAACGAACAACGAGGGAUUUCCUCUUUGAACCAUACAAUCGAAUGCCAAUUUACCAAGGGGCUGCGAGUUCGACUCCUUUCCCAUGUUACACGGGUCGAGAACGACGAACCAAAACCCCCAGAGUGAUUUCUCCAUAAGUAAGUAUCUCCACCACUAUCAGCAGACGGAAUCGGCAGUCGAAAGAAUGAUCUGCAAGGUCACAGCAUUUUCAGAGCGCGCUGGUGGGAGAUUCCAAUUUCCAUCUCUAACUGCUUGAGAGACAGUUGCUGCUAUAGGAAUUCUCAAAGACCCUGGUCCACCGGGACCAAACAUUAGAUGAAGAGGACCCAAAUCUGUCCAAUAGUCAUACCAAAAUGAGGCUGUGUUCCCAUCUCCUAUAUUACAUCUAAGGAAGAGCAGAAGAUCCUGCUUCAGCUGAAGCAUGCUUCUCACAGUCCAAGAAAAUCUAGGCGAAUCAUUUGUUAGUCAAAAGCUUGUUCCUCCAAAACGAUUAUUGCACAGCCAAGGAACCCUCCGUAGAAGAACAACCAGACCCGCUUUAACCUGAAUACCAUCUUGAAAUCUUCAAGACGCCUUAUUCCAAGCCCACCCUCAGCCUUAGGUUUGCAAAUGUUUUCCCAAGAAACCCUAGCCCCUGCUGCAGAUGUCGUGCUAUUCUUCCAAAGAAAGCCAGAGCACAAAGAGUCUACUUUGGCAUAGAACCAUUUAGGCAACACAAACACUGAGCUCCAAAAGUUAACCAUUCCAUAAAUCACUGAGGAAACCAUAGUUACUUUUCCAGCAAAAGAUAAAUAUUUAACAGUCCAGGAAUGGAGCUUCGACGUUAUACGAUCAAUAAAGGGCUGGAGGGAUGCUGCGGAAAUCCUUUUAGGACUAAGAGGCAAUCCAAGAUACCUUGUAGGGAACUCACCUCUGCGAAAACCUGAUAAAUUACUCAGCACCGAAAUCUGAGUGUCUGAAUAUCCUCCAUAGAAAAUCUCUGAUUUUGACUGAUUAGUGUCCAAACCUGACCACUCUCUGAAGUAAUUCAUGACACCAUUGAUCCCAUCUGUGGAAGCCUGAGACCCAUCCGAAAAAACUAGAAGAUCAUCCGCAAAAAGUAAAUGGGUGAGCUUCGGAGAUAAGCACAGCGGGUGCAAGCCAAAAGAACCAUCAGUUUCGGCCUUGUCUAAGAGGCGAGAUAAAACUUCCAUGAGCAUGAUGAAAAGAUAAGGAGAGAUAGAGUCCCCCUGUCUUAAACCCUUCUUCCCCUCAAAAAAUCCUGCAAGCUCACCAUUAAUAGCCACUGAAAAUCUUGGACAGGAGAUGCAUUCAGUGAUCCAAGUGAUGAACAUAGGCGGGAAUUGCUGAGCUUCUAAGACCUUGAUUACAAAAUCCCAACAAACCGUGUCAAAUGCCUUGCGUAUAUCAAUUUUGAUCAUGUCACUUUUCAGACAAGAAGACUUGUUGUAAUCUUUGAUGAGCUCCGUUGCCAACAAUACAUUCUCGCCAAGACUCCUACCCUUCAGAAACGCAGCUUGGUUUGGGCUAACACAAACAGUCAAGAUGGGUUUGAUUCGGUUGGCAAUAAUCUUUGAAAUGAGUUUAUACACAAUAUUGCAGCAACUGAUGGGUCUAUAAUCCGUAAGGCAGCAAGCUUCAGGUUUCUUAGGUAUGAGAGCAAUUGCCGUAGCGUUCAUAUCCUUUAGAAGCUUACCAUUCCUGAAGAACUCCUUAACAGCAGAGAUGAUAUCAGCCCCAACAGUGUCCCAAGAAGCUCUUAUAAACUCCACUGAAUAACCAUCUGGCCCCGGACUCUUAUUUAACGGCAUUGAAAAAAGAGUGGCUUGAAUCUCUGCAGCAGUAACUUCCCGCUUUAAAUAGUUUUGUUGAAGCUCAGAACAGCGAAAAGGAAGCAAAGACCUGAGUUCUUCGGAAGAAGCCGGCGAGAAGGGAAGAUCCGUUGAUCCUAAGAUACCCUGAAAGUAGUCUGCUGCGUGUGACUUAAUCUCAUCCAUAGAAUAGUACAAGCGGUCGUCACUAUCUUUAAGGUAGUGUAUGUGAUUCCUCGAAGCGUGACUUAAUACUGUCCUGUGAUAGAAGGGGGUGUUUCGGUCUCCAACUCCAGCCCAGCGAACCCUUGACCUUUGUUUAUAAAAAUUUUCCUCAGCCUUGAGUAGAACAUUUAGCUUGUCCCUCUGUAUGUGUUCCUCACGAGCAGUCGGUAUAUCCGGCGUUGUUAGCAAAGACCGCUGAAGUACAUCAACUCUCUCCUUAUGUGCCUUUACUCUCUGAGAAAUACCACUGAAGUGUCUUUUAUUGAGUAAACGCAACGGUCUCUUCAACAGCUUAAGAGAACGAACCAGUUUAAACUGGUCUGUACCCGUAAUCUGAGCAUAAUUCCACGCCUGACGCACUGUAUCUGCAUACUCCGGGUGAUCAAUCACGUGAUGAAAAAAUUUAAACGGUUUUACAACCUGACGUCUGAUCGAUGGCAUCCGGAAAAGGCAGGGGGCAUGAUCUGAUUGAGAUGGGUCUAAGAAGUCUGCGUAGGAAUCAGGAAAAGAGGUAAGCCAGGCUUGGUUAAUGAAAGCAUGGUCGAUCCUGGUUGAGAUUGGAUUGUUGUCCUGACUAUUCUUCCAAGUGAAAGGAAGCCCUUUGGCUUGAGCCUCAAAGAGCUGAGCAUCCUGAAGCCCAAUAUUUGCAUCCUCCAUACCUGUUUCAUCAACGCGAGAAGUAAGGUGGUUCGAAUGGUGAGAGGUCCGCAGCAUCUGAUUAAAGUCUCCCACAACCGACCAUGGAGAGUAAGAAACCGGAGAAGUAGUCUGCAAGUUUACAAGGUUGUGCCACAAACAUCGCCGAUCUUCCACUUGAUUGAAACCGUAGACAAAAGUAACUGUAAGAGAAAUAUUCUCCGAGAGAACAGAAACACCACAAGUAACUGAUUGAGCUGUCGCUUCAUAGAUAACCAAAAUAACCCUCGGGUCCCAAACAAGAACAAUACGGCCGGAGUCAUCGUCUUCAUAGUUUCCAAAAAAAUUCCAACCCCUUGGAAUAGCUCCUAGUACUCUCUCCUUAUUAUUAUCUAAUAUAUGAGUUUCCAAAAAAGCUCCAAAAAGUGGCCUAUGGAUAUUAAUCCAAUCUUUGGUAAUAGUGUGGCGUCUUUCACUAUUCAGUCCACGAACAUUCCACGCAAAAAACAUAUUCAUAAAAUUAAUGACGUUUUGCAGCCUUGCGGCCACUUCUCCUGUUUUUAACCAGGAUAUAAGGUUCCUCCUGCUCCUGCUCAGGGGCAUAUUCUGUAACUUCGAUGUCGGGAGCUUUCUUGCCACCAUUUGCAUUUGGAAUGUCCUCAGUGUCAUUCACAGAAACUUCCAGUGCAGAACCCAAACCGGCAAUCACUUCCCCUGUAUCAUGAACCUCCACAGCCGCAUCCUGUGAAUGUAGAAGCAGGUUGAGACUGGCAGGUACAGAAUUCUCAGUCGAUGAAUCCAAACUAACAACAGCAGCAGUAGAAGAAACCAAAACAACUCCGACAGCCCCUGAAUCCAAACCGACAGCCCCUGUAUCCAAACUAUCUUCACCAGAACCAGAAGAAUUAGUGGUAUCUCUGACCAAAACCUUACUAACUUCCGAGCCAACAAUCAAGUCAUCUGAGGCCGGGUUCUUUUGUUCAGCCAACGUUCCAUCAAUAGAUUGCUGAGAAACUGUAAAAACCUCUAGAACCUGUUGAUAGAUUUCGCCUUCCUCCAACUCAGUAUCGUACUCCUCAGACGGGGACUUCUCCUGAUCGCCGUAUGUGGAGUUUACCAAAGCUUCCAUAGAAUCAGAGUUUUUAGGCACCUCGUGGGAGUUCUUAACAACUGGGACAUAUUGAAGAGUCCCUUGCUUCACUUUUUUAACAGUAGAGCGGCUUGGUCGAGAUCUUGAACGUCUUCUUGACGUCUCAGUAGUCGAUUGUCUCACACUUCUUGACGCAAAUGCUCCUUCAGCAACCCCCAUAGAGCAUUUAAUCGCUGUAUGCCCAAACUUGUUGCAGCGAUCACACUUAACCGGAAGCCAGGGGUAGGAGACAUCAAUCAUAACUUCUUUACCAUUUGAGAACCCUGAGACAAUCUUAGUAGGCAGAGGAGACGUUAAAUCGACUCGCACAUAAAGUUUAGCAACCUCGAAGUUCAGCUUUCGCUCUGUUUCUGGCGCGAGAGAGUCAGGUUUACCAAUAGCAGUUUCGAGACGACUUAAACUCUCUUUGUUGAAGAGCAAGUAUGGGACAUUUCGCAUCUCUACAGGUACAAUAGCAGAGGUGAGAGGCGGUUCAUCUGGAGAGUAGUCCGGAGACCAUGGAGCUACGAACAUAGGAAGUCCAGCAAUGUUCCAGCAGGUACGAGAUAACAGGACCUCGCGAGUUCUUUGAUUUGUCACUCUGAGGAGAUAAAUACCCUGGCCAAUGUUAUGGAUGAAGAUCUUGGGACCUGUCUUCGCCCAAAUCGCAUUCACAACCCCAAUAAUCUUACCCAUUGUAGGAUAAUCACCAUGAAAUCUUGCGUAUAUGAAAUCUUUGAUUUCAAGUUUGGCAGCCUCAAUGUUCUCAUCCGGAAUCAGUACAAACGGAGCACCUGAGACGUGUUCAAUAGGAGAUCCGAGUUCUUGAAGCUGAGCAGAGCUUUUCAGAAGAUCUGCAUAGUUCCUUGCUGGAGUGUCGCCAUUCCCUGAGUUGGAACCCGGUUGAGCGCUUGCAGCCCCUACACUUUGCGGGCAAACCUCCAGAGGUGGAGGAGAAGAAGAAAACUGAGUAACUGGUGGUUUAGUCUCCACCGGGUUAGGCCCAGAUCCUAGAGAAGACCAAGACCAGAGAAUUGAUCAGAACGGACAGGAAACAGAGACCUCGAAGCAAGGAUCUCGGAAUUUUCGGCGAGAGAAGCUAGAGAAGCGAGAACAGUCCCCUGGAUCGAAGACCCAGAUGCAGCUACAUCAAUCUCAGGGAGAUCAGCGAGAGAGAUGACCUUGCUCUUCUUCUUAACCAUCGCUGAUUUCUUUAUUGCACGAAUCAGACGGAACUUGAAGGCAGAGGCAAAUGGCGGUCGAUACUUCUUCUUGGAAAGGAGCAUCGCGACAUGGAGGCGACGAUGAAAGAGAGCAGAAGAGGGUCACCGGCGAGACGGAAGCUCACCGACGGCGGAGAAAGGACUGUAACGGUCUUCUUGAGUUUCUAUCGCUCACCGACGGCAGAUCUACUGUUCACGUAAUAUGUUUCAUAUAUUAUUAAAUUUUAUUCAUCCAAAGAAUUGAUUUACAUUUUUUGUUUUACGUUUUAUGCAUCCUUCGAUUUAUUUUUUAUCGUCAAUUUGUUUUAUUUUUUAGAUUUUGGUCCUUCCCCCUUUUAUUUACUUUUCUCCAAAUAAAUAUAAAAUAGAUUUAUUCUGCUUCAUUUGAAUCUCUUAUUUAUGUAUUGCAAUGACCGUAGAAGAUUAUGAUAUAUAACUAAGACGCUGCAUUUGAUCUUCACACAAGUUUGGUGAAGGAUUAUAGGGGAUAGCAACUGUGCUCCAAAAUUAUGGGGCUCCGAUUGCUUAGGAGAGAUUUUUUCGAGUAUGGAAGCACAGGUUAAAGAUGCUUACAUCAAUACAACACAAUUGGCAAAAUACACAUAAAUGAACAAAAAAAAAUCAAAAAAUUAUUUUAAAUAUGGAGAAAAUGUAAAUUUAUUAAUCUAACAAGGAACCUGUUGUCAAAAAAAAAAAAAAAACAAGGAACCUUUUUAGGAGUAGAUUUCUCAGGUUUAUAACAUGAAGAAAUAAAAAUUAGUUUAAAACAUGAAGAAAUAAAAAUAUUGUUGAUCUCAUCAUCACAAAAUAUCGUUAUAAAAUUAAUUUAGAAGGACCAUGCACGAUUGACAUACACAUAAUAAACAAAAAAAUAAUUAAAAAUCAUUUUGGAUUUAGAUAAAAUGAAAAUCUACUAAAAUUAACAGAGAAAGACUUGCAAAGAAUUAUUCUUGUGGAGACUUCUCAACAAGUAUUAUUUUUAGGUUAUUUUUGCAAUUAAAAUUAACGAAGGAAUACUUCUCAACAAGUUUGCUCAAUGAAUAGAUUUUUUGAGAAAUUUUCUUUCAUAAAUUAUCAGGUUAAUUUUGUAUUUUAAAAUUUAUUUUUGAGUUUCUUAGAGCACACUUCUAUAAAAAUAUUCUUUGAUAUUCAUGUUUAUUUUGUAAUUGCCAAAAUUAUGCAGACUAUCUUCUCAGAAAGUCUUUUUACUGGCAAAUGUCAUAAGAAGUCUAUUCAAGUUAGUUUUGAUAUUAACCAUGUUUGAUUUUAUACGAAUAGACAUCGGAAAAAUCUCAGUGUGAAAAUUUAUUCAACAUUCUACGCUCAAUUUUAACGGUUUGUUAAAAUCUCAGAAUAAACAUCGAAUAGACUUUUGGAGAAAUCUUUUCAAUUUCACCUAGAGCCUUCUCUCGAAAUCUGCAAAUUAAUUAAUUUUUAUUAAAUAUUUUAUUUUGUGGUAAAACUGAUCUUAAAAAACGUUUUAUGAUACUUUAGAGAUCUUUUUUUGAUAUGUCAGAAGUUGUCACAAUUGACUUUUCCGAAAGGCUCGUCAUAACAAUCUUCUCUAAUCUCUAGAAGUGUUGUCACAAUAGGUUUCACUAGAAGUUUGCUAUGAAAAUUUAAAUUCUUAUAUAAUUUCAGUCAAAUGCUAAAAUAAUCUUUAUUUUAUAGAGACUUUCCGAAAUAAACUCCAUUUUUUUGCUUAUGAAGCAAAAUUAGUAGACUUUUAAAAAAGCUUUUUAAGAAAAAUUUACAUUCUCUUUGACCUUUAAGGGUUCACUUAGGACCUCUCAGACACGGGAAUCGAGAAGCCGCCACAAGCCAUGUCUCUUGACGCCGGCGGUGCCCCUUGCCGUCGGCGUCGACUCCUCCGCCGCUCUGCUUCCGCUUCUCUUCUUUUCUUUUGCUCCAUUUUCGUUUCAAGCUUCAGCAUCUCUUUCUGCAACUCGUUGAUUUCAGUUCUUUCCAUGGAUACGUACGGUUCUUCUCGACAGCCCGCGUCACCACCGCCUCGUUUCAACCCUCGGAGAUCUCUCGACGGGCUCAGUCAUUCGAGGCCUCCCAUCUCGUCGACGGAGUACAUGUCGGGGUCACCGUCUGUCGUCUCUCUUCUACUGUCUCCGCCGCUCCCUUCCGCUCCUCGCCGCCAAGUCUCCCCUGUCUGUCGAUUUGAAUCCAUCAGAUCUGAACUCCACUCCGUCGUAGAUCUACUCCGGUCCUCCUCCGACACUCUCACCUCGACGCCACCGCAGUCUCUCACCCUUCAUCUCGCGGUGUUAAAAGCUCCGACUCACUUUCUUAUAUGGAGUCACCGCUCACAUCGAAACGGUUUUAACACCUCGUCACCAUCUCCAACACAUUUGUGGUUUCCUCUUUGGUAUAGAUUCGCGAUUCACCGCUGCAUCUCACCGUCUCUGAACCGGUAUGCGGCUUCACCAACCAUCGGUACAAUCGUCACACUUCGUCUUACAUGUACCACUGAUACCACUAAGAUAUAUGUCGCCUCCUUUCCGUCAUACUCGGACAAGAUUCUACAAAGCUUUGACCAUCUUUUGGGCUUUGGGUUGUAUGCAGAAGCUUCCAUAGUGAAGUUUUCGUCUAAAGCUACGACCGCUCAAAAGAUCCAUAGCUCUUCAACCGACGGUAUAACGCCUCUCUCCCUUGUCGCUGGAUCUAUUGUGCAAGAGUGUGGAUUCGCCAGAUUUUCUCGAUACUAUGUUACUGCUGCGUCUCCAUUACAUUAUGCCGUCUCAAGCAUCGACGGUUCUUCACAUAGUCAGCUCUACGGUCCUGUGCAAGAGUGUGGACUCGCCAGUUCUUCAUGUUGUUACGUUAUCGCUGCGCCUCCAUCACACUACGCCGUCUCAAACAUCGACGGUUCUUCACAGAGUCAGCCCUAUGGUGCCCCCAUCCCUAUCCUUGUCGCAGAAACUAUUGUGCAAGAGUGUGGACACGCCAGAUUUGCUCGUUUCUAUGUCAUUGUUGCGUUUCCAUCACAUUAUGCCGUCUCAAGCAUCGACGGUUCUUCACAGAGUCAUCUCUGCGACUUUCCCAUCGGAGCUGUUAUCUUCUAUGGAGUUUCCCGGAACUCUUGCUUUCAAAACCCAUUAGUUGGGCUAUUCAACGUCGAUUUCGACCUAUGUGCGUUUCUUCGAACGCGAGCUUUAGGACUACAAGUGAAGUGUCUCUAUGGGUCUCUUCUCUCCUUAGCCACAUCUAUCUUUCGACAUGUUUUAGUUAUUUUCGUCUAUCAGUUUAUCGUCGAGAAUCUCUCCAGUUGUAACCGACUUAGCCCAUUGGGUCUUUAAUUUUAAUAUAAGUAUUUCGUGUUCAAAAAAAAAAAAAGAAAAAUUUACAUAAUGGUCAAUUGCAAAACUAACUUAUGUAUUAACGAAUUCUCCAGAAAUUUUUUCGGUGGAGCAGAUAUAUGUAAAAAAUUUAUACGUUAAACAAAUUUGAAAAUUUUGAAUAUUAUAUCUGAUCUAAGUAGAGUUUGUGCUUAAUUUCUCUAACCAUCCAAAAUUUCCUUCAAAAAAUCUAUUUAUUAUUAAAAAAAACUUAUUUAUUUUUGACCAAGAAUCAUCAAACUUGAAUAAUUUUAAUAAAAAUGUAAUUUUGAAAUAAGAGUGAAUAUGCAAGAUAAUGAUCUAUGUAAGUAAGAAUUGAGAUAAAAAGAUGUAAAAUUUGAUUUCAAUUGCAUUUAGAAUUUAGUUUUACUUGUUGACGGUGGUUGGUGAUACAUAUGACAAUGAUAAAUUUAUAAAUAAGUAAUGAAAAUGAGAAUAUUUGAGUAAAUGUUAAAAGCUAUAUAUUUCGAAAAUAAUAAUGAUAUUUUGUAAUUUAUUUAACUUUUUAUAGUGAAUAGGGAAAAACAAAUUUUAACAUAAAAUUUAGGUCAAUUUUGGAAGAGAUCCACAAAUAUAUAGGUUAAUAUGCUUUAAAUAUCACUCCUUCCGUUUCUAAAAGAUCAAUAUUCAAGAAAAAACUUUUGUUUCAAAAAGAUACAUAUUUUAUAUUUCUAAUGUAACUUUUGUUAACCAAUAAUGAGAAAUUGUGAAGUUCAAGAACAUUAAUUGCAUUUCUUAAAAUCUUAUUGGUUUAAAAAUAUAGAAAAUAUAAAAUUACAAAAGACUAUGCAUUUAUAGCUAAGUUUUAAUACUAUGUUUUAUUAAAAAGUGUGAAAAUUCGAAAACAUGGAUCUUUUAGGAUCGGAGGGAGUAAUAAAUAUACGUACCCCAAUACCCCCAUCAUAUAGUUCUAAUUUUUUUUAAUGUUGAUUUAUUAUGAUACUACAAUUAAGAGAAAUAUUAUAUAGACGAUCCGACAGACAACCGACAAUACUACAUGUCUUAUAAGGAUCUACGCCUAAUUGUAUCACCUGAGCUGUCCUACAAAGAUCAUACAUGAUCAAGUUUAUUUGUACCAUAUUGAAGAUUCCUUGUAAACUUUUUCUCGGUAGCCUCCGUAUAGUUCUAAUUUACAUAAAAAGAAAACUUAUUAGUGACAUAUUUUUCUCACGCUGAAUCAAAAUAACUUAAUAUACUGGAACCCCCUUACCUACUCACAAAAUCUUCACCAACCAAAACAUUUCAACUCACAGUCGCGAUCGAAGAGAACGUUUCACUUCACAAGACGCCGAAACCAAACGAUAAGAGAGAGAGAGAGAUAUGAUGUGCGUUAGAGCUCGGCCGCUAUUUUCUUCACCGUUAUCUCUCGCGUUCUCUCCAACCAAACACUCCCCACCUAACCAUCUCCGCCUCCCUCUCUCCUCCUCCUCCUCCUCACGACGCUCCCUCUCCGCCGCCGCAAUGUCUUCCUCCUCCACUCCCCAGAUCAUCGAGCACAUCGUCCUCUUCAAAGUCAAACCCGAAACGGACUCCUCCAAGAUCGCCUCCAUGAUGAACGGCCUCAACGGCCUCGUCUCCCUCAGCCAAGUGAUCCACAUCUCCGCCGCGCCUCUCCACCGCGUCAGAUCCUCCCCCUCCGCCUUCACCCACGUCCUCCACAGCCGGUACGGGUCCAAGGAGGAUCUCAACGCGUACGCCGCGCAUCCCGAUCACGUCCGCGUCGUCAAGGAGUCCGUGCUGCCGAUCUGCGACGACGUCAUGGCCGUUGAUUGGGUCGCGGAUCGAGUCCCCGGAACCCUAGCUCCGCCUCCUGGCUCCGCCGCGAAGCUCACUUUUCUCAGGCUGAAGGAGAAUCUCGCGGGGGAUGCUAAGUCGGAGAUUGUGGAUGUGAUCAAGGGGCUUAGCGAGAAGCUUCCGGGGAUUGAUCAGAUCACGGUGGGAGAGAACUUCUCACCGGCGAGAGCGAAAGGCUUCUCGAUUGCGUCGAUUGCGUUUUUUAAGGAUCUGGGUGAGUUGGAGACGGUGGAUGUGCAGACGGAGUUGGUGAAUGUGGAGAAAGAGAAGGUUCGUGAGUAUGUUGAUUCCACCAUUGUCGUUGAGUUCGUGGUUCCUUCUGGUUUGGUUUCUGGGUUGUAGAAUGUAACAGGGCUUGUGUUUUUGUAACCCUGAACCAAUAAGAGAUAAGAGAGUUUCUGAUUCUGCGUCUUACAAUCGAGAUAUUGAGUUUGGAUCUCUUUGUUAUAAAUUUGAAGUUCUCACAGUUGAAUUGUCUUUUGUCUUAAUGUUGUCUGCAUUUGUGUGUUGAUGCAAAGUUCAAUGCUGAGCUUAGCAACUGUUCUGAUCUUAUUAGUUAGAUGUUACAAUUGCAGUCGAUCUGUCUAUGUAGUUUGCGAUCAGUUCUUUGUGUUAGUUGUCAAAAGCCGGAUUAGUGUUUUAAGAUGCUCCAAGGAUAUCUAUCAUAUCACCUACUCUUGGGUUUGCAUAGUUGAAACCUCAAAACCAGGAGUCGUCCCAGUUUGACGUACAAUAUCAAUCCCAAACCAGAUCAGCAAACCUAGUCAUUCUUACAGAACCAACAGUCUUGUGAUGUAUAUACACUCUUUUAUUAUUUACCUUCAUCCACUUGACAGUUUCAUCAACCUUUUGGAAUAUAACAAGAGCUACUGCCAUUGUUUUCUUCAGUCUUCAUAAAGGUUAGUUAACAUAACCACUUUUUUCUUGUGUAAUCAUCACUUUUUGUUCCAUUCCAUACAUUGGAAAAAUCCCUAACAAGAGCAUCCCGCCAACAGAACCGGCUCAACCCCGCUCUGAAACCGGGAGAUAUUCAUGUUGUUAUCUCCGUAGAAUCAGGCUCUUUGACUGAAGCAUAGUAAGUCGGGUUGUUUAUAAAAGCUGGACUACAUGAUUAAAGGAGGCAAUAAUCUUGUUUCUUUCGUUUUGCAAUUUCCAGGGAUCCAGUCAGAAAAAAAUGCUGUUUUGAUUGAAUUAGAACUCAAUACCAUAUAAGAUCAUACAGUAUUUAGUUUCAAGAAGAUAUAUUUAAUAUGAUAUUGAAAAUUUAUUUUGAUGCAAGUUGCUACUUUUGUUUCCUCGAUUACAUGAAAUUUUUUAGGAUGUUUCCAAUUGGGCACAAGCCGGGUACCUUGUAUUUUUUAUAUACUUGGUACUCGGCUUAGUUUAAAUGAGUAGUAAAAAAAUUAUUUGUACUUGGUUUGCUAAAAACGAGUACUUACAAUUUCAACUACUUGUUAAAAAUUGACGGACUUGCAAGUUACUUAACUUGUUUUAUUACUUGUUAUUUGUAAAUAAUUUUUAGGUUUUUAAUAAUUAUUUGUAAUUUUUUUUUGCUAAUUCGUCGAAAUGCAAAACUAAGUAAGUAUAUUAUGCAUACAAAAUAUUUCAUUGUUUUCCUAUAUUUUAGUCAAUUCAAAAAAUAUAAUAUCUAAGAAAAAAAAACGUCAAGAUAUAUCACAUAUGUUUGAUUAACUUAUGGAAAUAGAUAUAUAAACAAGUUAUUUUACUAUGAUUUAAAAAUGGGUUAAUUUGAUGAAUGAAUAUAUAUUUGGAAAAAUAUUAGAUUUGUAGUAAGAAGGUAAAGAGAGAUAGGAAGAGAAAAUAGGACAAAAGGAUUGAUAUAGUUAGUUGGUGAAAUAUAGUUUUUUUUUUCUAGUUAUUGGAUCAAAUUUCCCAUUUAAAAAUGUAAAUUUGUUCAUCAACAAAAACGAGUAACAAACCAAACAAUUCCAAGUAAUUACUUUGAUUUGAAUACUUAAUACUUAUCUUGUACUUGCUAGUAAUUUAAAUAGAUUACUUGAUACUCCACUUGGUCAAACCGAGUACUCGAGUUUACGAGUCAAGUGAUCAAGUAGCGAUUACAAGCCAAGUACUCGACUUUACGAGUCAAGCGAGCGAGUACAAGCCAAAGCCAAGUAACGAGUAAUUGUGCCAGCCCUAGUUUCCAACACCAACUUUAAGCAGACUUAUUCAUUCAUCGAGGAUGCUAUGUAUUCUAAAGAAGAUAUAGUUAGUUGGUGAAAUAUAGUUUUUUUUUCUAGUUAUUGGAUCAAAUUUCCCAUUUAAAAAUGUAAAUUUGUUCAUCAACAAAAACGAGUAACAAACCAAACAAUUCCAAGUAAUUACUUUGAUUUGAAUACUUAAUACUUAUCUUGUACUUGCUAGUAAUUUAGAGAGACUUACGGAAUGAGACACUUUUUUCUCUUUUUUUACUUCAUUAGACACAUCUCACUUGAGGGACACUUCUUCAUCUCCCUUCCUAUGUGUUUUGACUCAUAUACCUUUUUGCUUUGGUUAGUGAUGAAUUAGUUUUAUUAUAUAAAAUUACUGUCAGCUUUGUGGGGACCAAAAGAGGAGCAACGUGUUUCCUUAAAAGAGAGAGUGUAUAUACUUUGACUCUUUUUAUAUGUAGCAAAAGAGUAUUUUAUACUAAAAGUAACUUUUUAAAUUUCUCAACAUAUUAUAUGUGUCAUUAUUUUAUAUCAUACUGUAUAAAUAAAUAUAUAAAAACAUAAAAUAAAUUAUUAAAAAUUUUCUUUAUAUUUUGAUAUCCAUAUGUAUAUAUAUGUAUUUUAAUAUUUAUCAAAAUUAAAUUUAAAUUACAUACUGUCUAUUUUGAUACUUGUGGACACACUUUUGUGGAUACAUUGUUGAUGGACACAUUUAAAAUAGUCAUGGACAUGUAUUUGUGGAUAGCUUUUUGGUAUUUUGUAGAUACAUUUUUGAUGGAUAAAUUCAAAAUAUCCACUGAAUGGCAGAGACAUUUAGUGUACAAAAUUUUAUGGACAAGAUUUUAUGGACAAAAAUCUCAAUCUUACAAAUUUUAUGUAUAAAAUUUUGUGGACAAGAUUUUUGUGGACAAAGUUUGUAGACAAAUCAUACAAAGUUCAAAGAACCAGUCCCUGAUUCGACGCCUUUAAAAGAGACCUUAACAAAUUGAUAGAAGCUUGUAAGACUUAAUGACUGCUUCAAGCUGAGCCUGAAGAUGUUCCAGCAUGUAAAGUCCAAACAUAUUUAAAGCAUAUCCUAAAUCCAAUUAACCAAACAAAUAUAGCAUGUUCAAUAAACAGAUGAAGCCAAUUUUAUUAAUCAUGAGGAAGGGUUUAUAAUCAACAAGCAAGAGCUUACAUCAUCCAUAAAAUCUCUAAUAGACACAUCAGAAAACAUAAUCACAAAACAUAAUAGGCACGAGAGCUUGUCAUCGUCUUUUCCACAACGGAGGUGGGACCUGCUCGUCGUCGCGUCCUCUCCAUACCGGAUCUCGAAUCUGUUGGCCGUCCUGUCGUCCUCUCCACAAUGGAAGUCGGACCUGAUUGCCGUCGCGUUGUCCUGUCCAUACUGGAGCUCUCGGAUCUGCUCGUCAGCUCUCAUGUCCACAAAAUCUCAGAGAUUCGAUUCAAUUGAAAAAGUACAACACAAACAAUUAAAAAAAGAAAAAAAUAUAAAAAAGGUUAGGGGUUUCAAGGAGAAAGGUAUUGAAAUCGGGCGACGGAGAAUGAAGGAGAAAGGUGAUGAGAUAUGAAGAGAUAGAUAUGAGAUUAUACAGUCACAACCGCUGUGAGCCUUCUGGAUUCAUGGUGUUUUACAGAGAAAUUGAAGACGAAGAAGAAAAGAUUUAGCAGAAUUAUGGUUAGUAAACGAAGGGGCUGAGAAACUGGGAAAAUUAGAUCUGAAUUUCAAAAAAUAAAGCCAGAGAGAGAAUAAAUGAUGGUUUCCGAAAACUCAAAAAUAAAGAAACUGAUUUGUUGAACUAUUUUUAAAAAUAUGGAAAGUGACAGCUUAGUUAGUGAGGAGAGAGUUUAGUUAGUUUGAGAGCAUGUAGGACAUUACACAAUAAAGAAGUGUGCCUCCAGCAACAAGUGUCAUUUUGUGUAAAUUGAAAGAUAAAAAGUGUCUUACAGAGUAAAAAAUUCAUGAACUUAAUAGCAAAAUGUCAAAGAAACAUUCAUUAGAAGUCUAAAAGGUUUCAUAGCUCAACCGUUGACAUAUACAAAAUCAUAGAACAUGCGUACACAAAAGCUGGUUUAGGGCGUUUACGAUGCUCCAAAGGAUAUUUAUCAUUCCACCUAAUCCUUGGUUUCCUCAGUUGAAACCUCGAAACCAGGCGGUAUAAACACAAUGUCGUCCCAGUUUGAUGUUGCGUUUUCCUGCAAUAUCAAUCCCAAGAUUAGAUUCAGCAAAACUAGUUAUUCUUAAAGAUCCAACAGUCUUGUUGUGAUGUUUAUAUAUCUAUUAUUGUUUACCUUCAUCCCCUUGACAAUUUCUUCAAAAACUGCAACCUUUUUGGAAACAUAAAAAGCAUGCGUUUCAGUAUGAGGUAAUAAGAAUUAAUGGACUGACAAGAAAAUAACAACAACAAAAACCUGAAUGUCUCCGGGUUUCAGAGCAGGGUUAAGUCGGUUCUGUUGGCGGGAAGCCCGUGUCAGGGAUUUUUCCAAGUCCUCCUGUACCGAAUAAAUAGAACACCAGCUUUUAAGUUUUUUGGAUCAUGUAUGGACAAAAAGUGAUGAUUAGAUUAGACAAGGAAAGGUGGUGGUCGUGUUAAACUAACCUUUCUGAAGAAAACAGGGCGAUAACUCUUGUUAUCACUACGUAGAAUCAAGCUCUUUGACUGAACCAAAACAAGAAGAGAGAUAUUAAGCUAAAAGAAGAAGCCAAGUCACAAGUUUAAGAGCAAACACAUUACCUGGAAAACUGGAACACCAUUAAAGUCGUCAUCAGUGAAACCAGCUGUUUUCCUUUCCUGUUUUACGCACAUAGAAGAGAGAUACAUAUCAUUUACUUGCAAAGAUUCACAUCCAUAAGACACCUAUAUGCUGCAAGUACAUCCUACCCACCUCUGUUUAAAAUAAACCAAAUUAGCUGAGGCGAUUAAAGAAAAACAAAAUGCUCCUUUUCUUAAUUGUUUUGUUAAGAAACCUCAGCACAGUAUCUAAAUCCAAAUACAUUAUGUGUAUCAAAAUUAGCUGCAACAUGGAAUUCCAAGAGUCAGCUGACGUCAGAAGUCUAAGGCCUACGCUUAAGGUUUUAGUUUUACCAUACAGUAUGUCAGUAUGUGACUUUAUAAAUGAGAUUUAGAGGAAGAGACCCGAUAAGAGCCAAAUACAAUUUUCUCCUUACUUAUUCAUUCUCUAAACCUAUCUACAGAAGACAAAUGAGGAAAAAAACGGAACCAAAGAUAGAACCACAGGGUGAAGUCCAGAGAACCUUAAACUCUACUCUCCUAGUCCUAACUCCUAAGCUAAACCCAGACCAAACAUAGAACAUCCUCUUCUCUACCUCAACUCCCUUGUAAUCUUUUAGCUCUAGCUAAAAGACUCAACAGCUGUCAACAGAGCUACAAUCAACUAAAACCAUGUUAAACUAACACACAGGGCUCCUCAGUGAUGAACGAUGACAAUCAUGUUCAGCACAAGGUAACAUGUUCUUGAGUAUCUAAUGGCAAAUAAACAUUACCUUGAGAGCAUUUUGAACUUGAGUAGACUCAGGAAUCAACCUAAACGCCACACCAUUAACUUUCAACUGGAACACCUGCAGGAACAACAACAAACCAAAAAAAAUCAGAAGAGCCAAGAAACCACCACACUACUUAAUAAGUACUAGUAUAUAAUAAUCCAACAAACUCCCUUCACCUUACUAAGAGCAAGAGCUACAACUUUGGAACCUUCUUUCCUCAUACGAGGGUCCAUAGCCUUCAUCUGGUUAAGCAACGCCUCCGCAUCUUCCGCCUUACAGAACAACAACCCCAGAGACUUCCCUGUGGCAGUCCCCGAUACCAACACGAACUCCUCAUUCGAAUUGCUCAGCGCGUAAACAGGAACCCCCGCCAACCUCUCCUCCAUAUCGUCAGCGGAUAGCCCCGGCCCACUGCUUCUUCGUAUCGGAGCCACAUGGGUCUUCCCGCCGUCGUCAGAGAUUCUGGCCCAGAGGGGUGGUGUGUUGCCGGAAGCGAAGCGAGAGAAUCCGGAAUCGAGAGCUUGCUUGGCUUGGGCUCGAAAGGAGUCGAGAGCAGAGAAGAUGUUGUUCGAGUUGGGGUUGAAGAGAGGGUUUAGGGUUUUGGAAACGUUGUUGAGUAAAUCGGAGCAUUGGGUUUGGAUGUUGGAGAAGGAUUGUUGCAAAGUUAGGUGCUUUUGCUGUUUAGAUGAUGAGGAAACGUUUGAAUCCAUCUUUUCUUUCUCGGGGAAAUGCUUUGCGACUGUGACAAGAGAAAACAGAGAGUUGUCUGAGGGUUUUGCUUAAAAAGAUUGAUCUUUCUUUUUUUUUUGACAGAGGAUGACGAAACGAUUGGAAUCCUCUGUGGCUAGACAUAUCUUCUGUUAAUAACACCAACCAUUUGGACUCGGCCACGUAUAUCUACUUUGGAGCUCUUUGUUUUUCACCAUUUCUUAUUUCCAUCCAUCUGAUUUAUUUAUACGAUAUAUCCAAAUUUUAUGGAACCGUUUGUUUGUCAAUUCAUGUGACUCUUGUCGAUGAAUCAUCUAAAUAAACUUAUAUUUAUUUCUUUUUUAUUAAGACUGAUCCAUCCUACUAGCGAGAUAAAAAUUAACAAAUAAUUUAAAUAGUUAGAGUAAAUAUUUAAUAUAAAUUAUUAUUAUUUAAAAAUGUACAAAUUAGUUAAAUUGUGUACAUUUUAUUAUAUUUAAAGACUAAAUAAACCAUGUUAUCUGAAAAAUUAGUUAUGAUUUUUUAAGUAAAUAUUACUUGUUAUUUUAAAAAAUAUGAUUUUAUUUUGUUAAGUAAUGUAUGUAUUUUUGUGGCAUUACAUCAUUUUUUGUGAUUUUCUCGAGUUGGAUGACCAUAAAAACCCUCAAAAUUCUUCUUUUUUUUUUUUUUGUUAAUAGAAAAGAAACAAACUUGUAAAUAAAUUCACAGAUUUUUUGUUAAAUUUUAUAUACUUUAGUGGAUUAUCUUAUGUGUAUACUAAAUUUAGUUGUUACAGUAGAUCAUUGUUGAAAUUUUGUUUGAUUUAAAAUGUAUAAUUAAUUAUAAAAUUAUUUAUGUAAUAUUAACUAUUUAAUUAAUAUAUUUGACCAAGAAAAUAAAAAAUAUACAUGUUUGCUAUAACUUUUUAUAUUUACUAUAUUUGAAAAUCAAGUAAACCAUGUUUCUUAUAUAAACGAUUAUAAUUUUUGAAAUAAAUGUAACUGAUUAGUUGACCAAAAAUGUUUCUAGUUAAUUUUCAUAAUAUAAAUUUUAAUUUCUUAAAAUUCAUUGUUUUGAUCAUAAAUUUACUACAUUUUACCAUAGAUUACUGUUCAAAUUUAUUUGAAUUAAAAUGUAUAAUUAAUUAUAGUAUUAUUUAUGUAAUAUUAGAUAUGGUACUUUGUUAAUAUUAUUUGUGAGGUUGUGUGUUAGUUGUCUGUGCUGACUCCAUGUUUGAUUGAGACAUGAUCUUUGUAUAUAUAUGCUGCAGUUGUAGGAUUCACAAUGUAGAGUUCUCGUGUUUGUGGAACUAAAUGAAGAAUUUCAAUGUAUUAUUUUGGUUCAAAAAAAUUUCCUUGACUACUUUUACGUUUUGUUAGUUAGUUUGAAAACCCGACUUCAUAAUUGCCGUAGAAGAGGAAUUAAUUGAAUUUUAUUAAUUACUAGAUUUUUUAUCCGCGCUACGCGCGGAUUGUGUUCUAUACAUUUUCUUUUAAAAAUUGAUAUUUUAAAAUAUUUCACAUUAUAUUACAUUAAAUCUAUGUAAAACAUUAUAAAUAAUAAAACAGAUCAUGAUAACUUGAGAUUUUCUGUUAUGAUUUUUUUAAAACAUUAUUAUAUUGUUUGAUUUUGUUGUUCAUGCUUUACAAUAUUUUCAUCCAUGAAAAAAAUUAAUAGUUAUAAUUUUAAUGAUUAGUAAUUGAUUAUAUAUGUUUAAGUAUAUCUGGAAAAAUUACUAAAAUGUUACAUAAUAGUUUUUUGAUAAAGUAUCUGUUUGCUAAAUAUAUUUAAAUUUUCGUGUAACGUUUAUUUUUAUUUUUAUGUUUUUGGCCCCUAUUUUCUUUCUUAUGUUAAGAAUUUAUUAGUUCAAACCAAAUAUAAUUCCUUAGAAAAUAUUUCUUGUCUGAAAAAACAAUGUAAUCAAUUUCUUUCUAAAGUUAAUCAGCUUAUAUAUAUAUAUAUAUAUAUAUAUAUAUAUAUAUAUAUAUGAAAUAUAUUUCAAUAAAGACUAACAUCUAAAAAGGAUAUUGCCCUACUUAGAAUUUUAGUAAAACAUUUUGUAGCAUCUAAUUUUUGUUUGGUAUACUUUAUAUCAGGUUUUUGUUUUUUAUUUGUCAUUUGUUUAUAUGUUUUAUAAUAUAUUUCUUACGGUUAAAACAUAAUUUCUUACAGAUAUAAUAAAUAAAUCUAAUUUAAUAAACUCAGUGUUUCUAAGUUCAAAUAACAAAUUUCAUACAAAUAAUUUUUGCUAUACGGUAUUUAUUUGUGUGAUUUAUUUUAUUUUUGGUAUUUAUGUUUGUUUUGUUAGCCUACUUUAUAAUCAAUAACAUUUAUUCUCACAUUAUGUGAUUUUAAUCUCUUAUUAUUUAUACUUUGGGUUAUGUUUUUAAUCUACUUGAAUUUAUUGUUUUUAUUGGUGUAUUGUCUUUUAUAGUGUAGAGUUUUUGAGUUUAGCUUCCAAUUUAAAACUGAUAUUGGAAACAGACGACUUAGAUUUGAUUGCCUACAUUUAGUAUUUUAACAUAUAUAUAAUUAUUAGUGGAAAGUAACUACUUAAAAAAUUCUAUCAUUAAACUAAUAGUUUUGCUUAGGAGCUAUUAAUAUCAUAAGUUGUACAUGAAAAUAUAAUAACAAUUACAAUAGUCAAUGGGCAUAAGAUUUUGUUAGUUGGAAACAAAUAAUUCGGAAAGCAAACAAAGCAAUCACAUGAUAUGAGAUCUCAUCCCAAUAAAAUAAUAUAGUAGGUUUUAUGUAAUCUUACUAUAAAUUUAUAUAAUAAAGUUGGUGAGAACGUAUUUCAUACUCCCUCCCUUUCAUAUUAAGUGACUUAAUAUUGUAUAACAAUUUAUUAUUUUACAAAAUAAAUGUCGUUUUAGGGUUUCAGUGAAAUUUAUGUCAUUAAUUUGUUUCUUUACCUCUACAUAAAUUAAGAAAAAAAUUAAAGCAAUAGAAUUCUAAUUGUUAAAUAAGGGCAAAAUCGAACAUUUUACCUUUUUUUAAUUGGCGUGAAUUUAGAACGGUAAUUAAAAUGAAAUUAAAAAAGUAUAUGUUAGAGUCUUAUUUUAUUUUGUUAUAAAAUUGUUGUAGUUAGAAUAUGAUAUGCAAUAUUUACAACCUAAUUGAUGAAAAUGUGCAAAUUAAAACCAUUUAUCUAUUGAAGCUCUUGUUAAAUUUUUUCUCUUCAUAAUUAAAAUAAGGAUGCUACUUCUUACUUUAUCUUUAUAUAUUUAAAAUUAAAUAUAUAUUUUCAAUAAUGUUUAUAAAAUAUUAAUUUUGAUAUCUUCAGAUAUUAUAUAGAUGAUUCAAUUCAUAUUAACAGCUGAUAAACUAUUAUUUAUAUUUGAUUUUAUAAUUUGUAUCUAGAUUUUUAUUUGAAUAGCUUAUACAGUUAAUUUAUAUAUUAAAGUAUUAACUUUUGUUUUGUAUUUAACAGAAAGUCAUAAUUUAUGAUUAUUAUAUAUUUUCUCUGUUUUAGUGUAUUAAAUAGAUAUGAAGAUUUUUAUUUUGUUUCACAAUGUAAUUUAUUUCGAAAUCCAAUGAAAAGAUGAAAUGACUAAACAGUAUUUAUUUAAAAAGUUAAAAUUAAAAUUGAAAUAGAAUUUAUUAUUAGUUAUUCUUUCUCAAUAAUUAAGUGCUAAAGAAAAAAGAAUAUAUAUCUUAGUAUUUGUAUAUUUCAGGUUUACAAAAAGAAAUCUAUAAGAAAUUUGGACGAUGUAGUAAUCACAGAAAAUGCCAACUACGAAAACAUACUAAUUUGAAUUUAUAAUCACAUGUGUCUGUUCUCUGAAAACCUAAAGACGUUGCCCAAUUGCAAAGUCCAUCACGUUGUAAACAUAAUCGACGUGUGCAUGCAAAAUAUAUUUCGCUCACAAAUUCUUGAAACCGAUUGCUCCGUCGGUUCCAUUGUUGAUCAUUGCAGAAAAAUCGAUUUGUUGUUGAAAAAAGGACUGUUCAGUUCAACGGCAGAUGCACAUCGUGUCAAGAUAGACUUUGAAAAUGGACAGUGAUGAGACCUAAUAGCUCACUACAUUAGCUCUAGCAGGAAAGGCUCCUCCAAUGAUCACCCCGAAUCCAAUCCCUGGUCUUGAGGUUCAGAGCCAAUGGCAGUGGGAUAAAACAGUAUAGCUGCCUCGGGAAACCAUUGAUCCCAACAUAUAGCUGAAUAAAACAUUGCACCAAUACUUCAGUUAUGAUUUUGUCUACUUAUAAAUCACACGAAAAAGCUAAGCAAGAAAAUUUCGCUUAUACAUGUUAACCAAAUAGCAAUGAUAAAGUAAGAAAAUGUUUAAUUCGGAGAUUCUUCUACUCAGAAACUACUUUAAAGCCAGUGUCACCAUGAUUGAAAAAAUAUUUCUCUUAACCUAAAGAAUAGAAAAUAUAUCAUCAAAAGAAAGUCGAGGGGUUUCUAACCCCAAACUUGAUUCACCUGGUCCAUCAGGGGUAUGCGACUUCCUAUAAAUCCCGAGGUUAGUUCCAUCAGAGUCAAUAAUGUCAAUAGAGUUGUAAGUGCGUUAAUUUGCCUACUCAAAAAAAGCUAACCGGCAUCACUACACUCAGAUCCUUGGCCAGCUUCUGCAUCAUGUGUUAGUAACCCAUAUCCAACCAUUCAAGCACAACUAUAUAACGGAAACAUCUCCAGAUGACAUCUCCCGUGUUGAUGAAAGUACAAAAAACCACAAUCUAAGUAUCAAAGGUGCACCAAUAUGAAAAAGAGGAUACCUUGCAGUGGUAGGAUGAUCUUUGUAAGGCUUGGCUCGCUGAAAGUAGUCCUCUCUUGGUGCUUGACAGAAGUAAUAUAUGUUCCUGUAUUCAUGUACGUAAAAAAAAUGAUUGGAGAUACUUGCAUUCAUAUUGUAUGGUAAUCAUUUUUUUUAAUAUGCAAUAAUCAAGGGAGAACAUCAUAGAUCACUACAUAACAGGACUUUACUCCAGAGUCCACAGGUAGAGCAUCAGAUAUGUCAAUACUUAAGGCAGGUAUGACAAUUAAAAUCGAAACACUACAGCAGAUAUGUAAGAGGAAGAAUGACCUGAAUAAGAACGAUGUUUGCCUAAAUCGAAACACUCAGAGUCGCGUUCAUGGUGAUCAUGUCUGUUCCUACACCACCAGCAUCUUGACCAGCUUGGAUCUUGAGCGUCUCGAAUGUUAUACUCUGCAAAGUCCAGAUCUGAGAAUUGGAUUCUUGAAUCAGAUUUAAAAUCUAAGAGUUCAGAUCGGAACACUAACCUUGACAGUUAUCUUCGGUUUCUGAGGUUUAGCAGCUCCGUACAGAAUCAAAGAGAAGAGACCAAAGAGUAUGAAGAACCCAACGAUGAAGGCCAAGACAUAGUACCCACGAGGCAUGCCACGAUCUCUCUCGCCGUCAUCUAACAACCCUUCUUCUUCGAUCAUCGCACACUCUUUCCACUGCUUCUCUCCGCCGUGUCCUUUCCGCUUUGAGCCGUCGUUGACUUUCCGAGACCCGGGUUUCAAAGACCCGGAGAAUCGGGUUGAGGAGGAUUCUCGUGAGUAGCGGCCCAUGGAUGAUUGAGAAUGCGGCGGAGAUCCCAUCGGACUAAGUACCAGAGUUGAGUGGCGUUGGCUUUACACUAAAAAAAGAACGAUGUUGGCUUUCUUUUAUGUGCUUCUCUGACCAGAACACAAAACCAAGAAACAAAAGCCCCAUCGCUUACUCCGUCGCUUUUUUGCUCUCUUAAAACUCGUUUACAUUUUUUUGAUGUCUCCCUCUUCACACUCUCCAUCGGUUGCUCUCCAAGGGUGAGCUGCUGUAAACGUAAUAAAUUAAUUAGCUAAGGAAAUCAGGUGAGAGCCGAUGGUUAGAAGAAAUGGUAAAAUGACUUGAGAGGUAAAAGGCUAAAGCAAGGAGAUUAAUAAAGUUGCAGUGAGGAAGGAGAAGAGUAAGAGUCUGCCUCUUUGUCGCUGGAGUGUGGAAUUAAGUUGGAAUACGAAGGAAGUGGAAGAAGGCUGUGGAUAUUAUAUAGUGAGUUUUGGAAAUCUGAGAAGUGGUUCUCAUCGGACUGUUUCAGAAUUCCAAAGAUAAAAAAUGGAUAUAUGAAGUAGUGGAAGGUGAAAGAGUGACUUUUUGUUUAGUUGAAUAUUAGGUCUGAGAGAGGUAGGCCUGAAAUGGGCCAUGAAGAAUUAUUAUUUGCUCACACCAAUGAUCCAAUAUUUUUCUUGUGUCGAUUAAAGCAGACGUGAGGUGGCAUUUUAAAAUUCUAUGAUUGGCUGAUUUUAUGAACGACGUGGACAUGCUGAGAAUGGAGUAUAUCUCCCUUUUAAUAUAGUUUAGAUGCUACUUGAAAUAGAAUAUGGAGACCAUUACAAUACACCUUGGAUAAU
RNAcentral lists this long non-coding RNA (45493 nucleotides) under Brassica rapa (field mustard). Its description in RNAcentral is "long non-coding RNA (BRAP_LNC000549)". The record is from RNAcentral. Lineage: Eukaryota; Viridiplantae; Streptophyta; Magnoliopsida; Brassicales; Brassicaceae.